RNAcentral lists this long non-coding RNA (63139 nucleotides) under Sorghum bicolor (sorghum). RNAcentral's name for it is "long non-coding RNA (SBIC_LNC002772)". The stretch from base 48806 to 48914 matches the Rfam family "Plant small nucleolar RNA R71". The record is from RNAcentral. Lineage: Eukaryota; Viridiplantae; Streptophyta; Magnoliopsida; Poales; Poaceae.
ACACCUCCACUCUAUCUCUCUCAAUCUAGUAGAAACUAGAAGAUCUAUUUCUACCUUACAUUGGUUGCUAAGCCGAAAAAGAAAUAUUAUUUAGAGAAGAGGUUUUCCUUCGAGGGCACCCCUCAAUCUCUAUGAUAAUUUCUUGUCUUCUCCAGGGCCAGAGGGGGUCUCCUUAUAUAGUCCUCCCCUUCUAUGCGUUUUUGGGUCGAUAGGCGAGGUGGUACUAUGUUAUUCUGGAUCCAAUAGGUCGGUGGAACGUCGUGUGCGAAGAGAGUCCGGAACGGAGUCCAGAGGGGGGCGGGCGCCCAGGUCCUCAGGGCAGGCGCCCUGGGCCUGGCCCCUUUCGGGCUCCGCUUCCUUCCCGUGGCUUCUGGAGUCUUCUAGAUGGUAGAAAAUUGCGCGGUGGGUUGAUAUCUCUAUGUAAUCCUGACAUGUGGGCCUUUCUUCCUUAUUUCCUGAUAACCCCCUGCAGAAAUAGACAAACACCAAAACUCAUGGAAUUCUGUCAGAUAAAACCCUAAGUCUAGAUGUUGAUUUCAUUUGGAUCCUUUUCUUUGUUUAUUUGAUAAUUAAAUUUGAUACUUAAGGACCGUCAACAAACUCCCCCAAGCUUACCUCUUGCUCGUCCCUGAGCAAGGAUGAACUCAAGAGUUUCUGUAGUGGUUUCAUUUCUUAGAAGUACACACGCAUUUAAGCAAGAUCUCAUCUCUGAGUUAGAAUAAACUGUUAAGACUUAAAACUUACUUACUUUACCUACACCAUAGGACUUGUAACCGUCACUUCUGUCUUGAGUGGUUAAAAGAUAGAACAGUCUAGCCAAUUGCCAUGUCUCUUAUUCUUGAUCAGCUAUAGCUCUGGGGUUUUUGCAGAUUUUCAAAUAAAACUCAGAAAUUCCUUGUAUGAUUCUCUCAGGUCUCUCUUUUGUGGUAUUUUUGGAUCCUUACCAAGGCAGUGAUGGUAUAUGCCUUCUCUCAAAAUAUGUAGUAUUGGUGGUAUGAAGCAUAGUGUCAUUGUCUUCUCUCUCACCCUACUCUAAUAAGGCUUUAAUAUCUGGAGCUCAUAGGUGGGCGAUAAAGUAUACAUACUUACAAGACAUUUAUUGCAUAGUCAAACCAUGGAUCCAAAGAAACAAAUCAAUAAGCCAAAUCAAGAUGUGCAUGUGUGGCGAAUGAAUGGUGUAUGGUGAUAACAAUGGUGGUGGAAGUCUAAUUCUACUUUGCUCUUUGAGGGGAUACAUACCUUCCUUGCUUUUGAAACUUUAUGAGGAGAAUGAGAUGCUCUUCUUUUUUCUUUUCUUUCAAGGUUCCGAGCACUUGCUCCUUUUUAUUUCCUCGUAUCUUUUAUUUUCUUUUUCUCUUUUUUUUUCAGAGCAUUCAUCUCUUGAGAUAAUAUAGCAAGUGGUAGUAACAAGAUAACUUGAGCAUUUAUUUCACAAGGGGAAACAGAAAUAUUUUUGGUUAUUCUCUCCCGGAUUAGGAGUAGAAUACUUUUGGGUGGUUUUGGAGAUGGAAAUGAGUAGAUAUAUGUGGAUGGUACUUCCGGAGUAGAAGUAGCAUGUAUGAGUUAACGUGCAAAUGAAUCUUGAUUUAACCACAUGACAAGCUCCUAAGGGUCUAUACAGCUUGACCACACUCAAUGCUCAUAAGCAGUAAAUAGUAAAUGUGUGGCUCAAGGUCUAGCAAGCAUGUAUAUAUGGCUGUGGUAGGAAUUUAAACUCUCAUCAUACAGGAACUCAUCAUGCAACAUUUUAAAGAUUUUCAAAGAUAAAAUUCUCCAGAAUUCUAGCAUCUCUAGGAACAGAUAAACAACAGCUCAACCUUCCCAUAUCGUAUCCGUUAACAACUUAGACUUCAGAUCAAGUUUUCAUCCCACAAGUUUAGGUCUAGAGCAAGCCUUAAAUUAUAACAGUUAUAUCUAAACUUGAGAGAGAACUUCAAAUAUUCAAAUUAGGCAGAGCAACUAUUCAUCAUAUCCAUGCUUAAGUUUUAUUAGAUAUAGAUUAGCAUAGCCACUUUAUUUAUUUAUUAAACACACUAAGCAAAAUAUAUAUAAGCAUAAAAUCUUUAUUUGGUUUUUCAUAGUUAUGUGUAUUUAUAUUCUAAUAUAGUAUAAGUAUAAAGAUAGAUAGAAAUACUUAUCGAGAUAAAUGGGGGUGCUCUCCCCCAAGCUGAAUUUUGACGUAAUUUCUUGAUGUAGCUAGCAGGUGGCAGAGGUGUAUUUGAAAUUCAGCAGCAUUCUGACAGCGAUUAGAAUGUCCUCCGUCUGCUAGUCUUCUUGAUUCUUAAAUUCUGUGGAGCUCAAAUAGACAACAAAGCUUGUGGAACUGGUUAAGUGUUAGCAUAAAUAUCUAGCCUUUAUCAUGUUGAGACUCCUUAAUAAAUAUUACUCCCUGUUUUUAUAUUUUUAUUUUUAUAAAGCAGAAAAAUAUUUAUUUUAUUUUUAUGCCACCACAGUGAAUGUACUUAUGGGUUUUAUGCCACUCGUCUACUCACAUGGGGCUUACAGUUUUUUGUCACAUUUUUAUUUUCUUUCUAGGAUAAUACGAACAUGAUUAACUAAGUAAACUAUUUGAAAUAAUUAAAAGGGAAAGGAUAACUACCAAGUUUACCUCUUGGCAAGGCGUUCGGUGUUUUUAAGUCCUCCGAGCGGGACUCUCCAUUUUCUUAAUCGUCCUGGGAUUCGCUGGAUGACGUAGUCGGUGAUUCCGGUGGCGCCUCCUCUUCGUGUGUAACUAUAUUCUCUCUCCACACCUGACUCGGUGCUAUGGUCUCCUCAGGACAGUUAUGUUCAAGUGGUAUGUCUUCAGUCCUUAUCACUUCUCCUUCGUAGUCUACCCAUCCGUCCUUGAUGAUUUGCCUCCUCUGGUUGCGGUUGCGUUGUCUUCUUCUUGUCCUGACGUGGUCUUCUCCGGUUCCAAUGUAGAUGAUGGCUUUGAUAGUGCUAAGGAACGGUCUUCUAAGGAUGAUGGGUGGAUCGUACUCGUCUUCUCCCAUGUUAAUGACCUAAAAAUCAUCUGGAGCUGAAUGUAUGUUGGUUGUAGGGGCAUGGUUCCAUGCAGGAGCUGAUAAGUGACUGCGGCCAUUAUGUUGACGUCAGAUCCGGUGUCGUAGAGUGUCUUCUAAAAAGAGUAUUUGUUGAUUGUGCACUCAAUGCUUGGAACACCAGGGUCGUCCUUCUUGAUCAAGAAAGGUGACUUGAAUCGACGAUCUUGACCUCCUUGAGCUGCAGUGACCAUCUUAGCUGACUCGGUCCACAUUUGCUUGUUCUUGUUCCUCCUGUUGGUCCUCUUCCUCGGUUCAUGUCGGGAUUGCUCUGAAAUUUGUGUAGUCUUGUUCUUGAAGGAAAGUCUCCUUCUUCCCCUUGAUGUAGAGACUGAUCUUGGCAGCAUUAGCGUAGAUGACAGCUCUAGUGUUUAGGAAUGGCCUCCCUAAGAUGAUGGGUGCCCUCUCCUCAGUACCAGUCUCUAUCACCAUGAAGUCUGCUAGAGCAUACAAGGUACCAACUCGGACGCAGAGGUUCUUCAAUAUUUCCUUUGGGAAACUGAGUGUCCGAUCUGCAACCUUGGGCAUAAUGUUGACGCUGGAGCCAAAGUCGCAGAGUGCUUCUGGGAAGUCCACCAUGCCGAUGGAGAUCGGGAUGACGAGGCGUCCUAGAUCACCUCUCUGAGUAAUUAGGCCUCUGUUGAUUCCAACCUUGAUGUUGUUGAGGACGGUUGUAGUAAUAGUUGUUAUGGUUGUUGAUGUAGUUCACGUCCUCAAGCAUCUUAGGGCAGUGAUUGCCUGAGCGUCCAGUAUCUCCAGUGUGUUUGUGCUCGUAGAUCCUAGUUCUUCACUUGGUGGAAUCUGGGAGUUGUAAAACUCCUUCAUAUUAUGCUCGAAGUGUUCCUGCUCAUAGAGACAAGGUAGAGAUCAAGUGCAUGGGCCCUGUUGGUGGAAAACACCAACAAAACCAAAAGUGUAUUUGUUCUUCUCUAACCUUAAGCAUAGUGAGCAAGACAAAGUUGAUGGAUCAUGAGUGUAGCAUUUGUCAGAUCAGAUGGCUCAACCUAAUGGAAAGAUAAUCUAUCUAUAUUUAUGUUUUGUUUAUAUCUUCCAAAGAUUUAAUGUGCAAUACUUUAGCUUAUAUGAUUAGGAGUGUGGGGUCACGAAGGUAGUACUAAGAACAAAGAUUAAAGGACUAAACAUGUUGAAUUAAUUGAGUUGGUUAAUUUGGAGUUAUAAAUCAUACAUGUUUGUCUCUUUAUUUUAUGUGAACGCUAGAACCAAGGAGAAACUUAUAAAAGUGAUAGUCAAGUACCUUAAGAUGUUACCUUAUUUGAAGAGUGAUGGUACAGUAUCACCUUGUGGAAGCUUUCCUUUCUUAGCGGUUGUGCAUCGUGUUUGUGGCACCCUCCAUGAAUCAUCUCUUAUGAGCUACGUCUUUCUUGUGCAAAUUGUUAAACUUCAUGUGUCACUUUCUUCAUCUCUAAUGAGUUUGCAUCUCAGGACUUCCCAGGUUGAUAUUGAAAGUUUUCCUACAGGGGUUAGUCCAACAAAAUAUACCAAUAUCUACUCAAGCAGUUUUUAGUUCAGUAACCAAACUAGACUCCAUGUCUAAUCAGAUUAAGGAAGGCUAUUUAACCUAAGCACCACGCUUAAUUUAAAUGCCAUUGGAAGUGUGACCAGUACUUCCAAACUAACACUUACUAGGAUAAACAAAGGUAGCAUGAUGGCUUUUAUAGAGAUCUACUCAAGUGGAGAUGAAGUAGUGUGAUUAGUAUUUAAAAAAUUGAGCAUGUCUCAAAGGUAAGGACAACCAACAUAGCAACAUGGCAAAGGAUGUUUUAUGUAAAGUACUCCCCCAAGCUUGAAUUUUGCAAAAUUCAAGAUUAGAUGAAUUUAAUUUAAUGUUGCAUGAUGAUUGGUUGGGCAUACCUUGCGCUUGUCAUUCAUCCGAUCUUCUUGCUCCAAUCCUAGAAAGGUUAGUGGCAAGAAUACCCGAAGGAAUUUUUCUACAAUUAUCUUUAUAUGCUCAAUACACAAGGCAAUGUUGCAAAUAAUUAGAAGUGCUUGUUUUAGGACACUAAGCUUGUCCUUGGGAAACCAUCAAUCAACUCAACGAGAUCUGUAAUAGUUAUUAUAGACAUAUGCAUCGACAACCGCCCUUUUAAAGUUUUUAUAAAUAGAAAGGAAAAGGGGGUUGGAGAUCUCAAAUGUGGUAAGGAUGGAGAGACAAAUUGAUUGGAGAGAUGUUUUAUAUGAGCAAGGACUGGGUGAGGUAUUUAUGAAAUAACUUCCAUGCUCACUGUUGUUUCUCUCAUUCUCAAACUCCAAGGAUGAUUCUUCAUGAAUGUUUAAAAUUCCUCUAGGAUUGUCUCUCAAGUUUGUUUUAUCUAUCCAUUCAAUGGAGAUAGCACAUGGAUUUUUAAUGCCCUCUAGCCAUUGAUGUUGCUCUUCUCGAUCCUCCUUCUUAUGCAUGGGAUGUCUAGAAAGAUUCAUAGGAUUAUCGGGAGGUUCAAGAGGAAGAGCAUAGUAGAAACUAUUAAGCUCAAGGAUGGGAUGGAUAGCCGAAUUAUGGGUUUGAAAUGUUUGGAAAUUGGCUAUUGAAACUUCCUUUCCUUGUCUGGGAGAUGAUUCCUUCUCUAUUUCUAAGAUUUUUCUAUGAAGACUAGUACAAGAUGGAUGUCCACGAAUAAAGACAUACCUUCCUUUACUAAUAGAUAAAGAAAGAAAGACUCUACCAAAGUUUAUAUGAUUAAGACCAAUGUGAAAAUAUUUAGGAAAAACAUGGUCUUGUAGGGCUAGGUCUAAACCAGAAUUUAUAGAAAGAUUAAAAGAUUCCCUAGGUGUAGCUAAAAGUGCAUUAUCUUUUUGAUUAAAAGAUAGGACCUCAGCUAUAGAAAAGGGUUGGUUUUGACCUAUUGCAAUCAACUCCGGACACAUAUCAUAAUUAGGGGCAGGACGUGUUGACUCCCAUGGUCUAUGGCUGGUCUCCGAAGGUGCAAAGAAUUCAAUAAUAGGUAUGGAAUUUGAGUUAUCCAUAAAGAUAAAAAUAAAAAGAUAAAAGAAUAAAAGUAUAAAAGUAUAAUACAAGAUAAUAGCAAGACUCAAAGUUAUCUCAGCAAACCGUCUUUCUCCCCGGCAACGGCGCCAGAAAUGCUUGUUGAUAUUUGGUAACGCAAUUAGAAAAUGAUCCGCAAGCGCACGGAUAUCGGUGAGCAUUUCACCCGGGAGGUUAUCCAGAGUUAUCGUAUUUAUAUUUUUACCACUGGGAGAAAGGGUGCAUCUGACUAACCAAAUCUAUUGCUACUAUCCCUUUAGGCUAGAAAGAAUGUCUCUCGAUGUGAGUGAUGUAUAGAGAAGACUGCAACCUUAGUCUCGUUCUAACCUUGGUAAGGAUGAUCUACUGUUCUAUUGGGGAGGCUCACGGAAUCUAGACAACACAAAGGAUGUUCGACCCGCACCUAUAAACCUACCCGUCCUGCUAACGAGAUGUGAUCUGCAAAGGUAACUCGGAAAUGUCACAUUCCUCGCUACUACCACGGUCCAGCUAGUCAGGGGAUAUCUAUGAGUACCCUAGCCUAAACACCACGUUUACGCUAACAAGUGAUUAGUCUAAUACUCAACCGGAAGAGGAUUAAAGUAAACUCAUAAACCAAAGAACAAUAAAACAAGAACUUACUAGAAUUAGAAGUCGAAUUACUGAAGAAUCUUAGAAGCAAGCCUCGGGUUAGGAGACUUGAUCCCGCAGGUACAACUCGGAGUAGACACCGACAGGCCAGCCUUCCUCCGAUCCACACCUCCACUCUAUCUCUCUCAAUCUAGUAGAAACUAGAAGAUCUAUUUCUACCUUACAUUGGUUGCUAAGCCUAAAAAGAAAUAUUAUUUAGAGAAGAGGUUUUCCUUCGAGGGCACCCCUCAAUCUCUAUGAUAAUUUCUUGUCUUCUCCAGGGCCAGAGGGGGUCUCCUUAUAUAGUUCUCCCCUUCUAUGCGUUUUUGGGUCAAUAGGCUAGGUGGUACUAUGUUAUUCUGGAUCCAAUAGGUCGGUGGAACGUCGUGUGCGAAGAGAGUCCGGAACGGAGUCCAGAGGGGGGCGGGCGCCCAGGUCCUCAGGGCGGGCGCCCUGGGCCUGGCCCCUUUCCGGCUCCGCUUCCUUCCCGUUGCUUAUGGAGUCUUCUAGAUGGUAGAAAAUUGCGCGGUGGGUUGAUAUCUCUAUGUAAUCCCGACAUGUGGGCCUUUCUUCCUUAUUUCCUGAUAAUCCCCUGCAGAAAUAGACAAACACCAAAACUCGUGGAAUUCUGUCAGAUAAAACCCUAAGUCUAGAUGUUGAUUUCAUUUGGAUCCUUUUCUUUGUUUAUUUGAUAAUUAAAUUUGAUACUUAAGGACCAUCAACAAUAGACAUAGCCCUUUGAAGUAGAGAAACCAUAGUUAUCCUCUCUAUUCUGCUACCAUCGCCCAUAUACUAGAUUGCUCUACUCUCUAUUCCCAUAUUAUCACCCAUUGUUAUCUUACCUUUAAUAUUGUUCUUAUUUAAUUCUACCAUCUUUCCUAUUUACACAUAUCUAUCUAUCUUGGUUAAGUUACAGCGUAGUUGGUUCUCCCGAUUCCCUGUGGAUACAAUAAGACCUUUAACCGGGUAAAAGCUACAACAGUAUCCGUGCGCUUGCGGAUUUAUCUGUGUGCGUAUAAAUACCAUAGUACACUCUAGUGCCAUGCUGGGGAUGACAACCUAGUAUUCAAGUGGUGUUUGCAAGUGUCAACACCUCUCAACCCUAAUUCAUUGUUCCUCAAGGGAGAAGAAGCCUCUGGUCAAGCCUAGAGCCACCACAUCAAUUAGACAUCUAGAUUAGCAUAGCUACAUAGGAUUAGAACUAGGAGUCAAUCUUCGAUUCGUUUCCGGAUCUGUCAAGAGGAUUCUUAGUUCUCUAAUUAUUCUUCUAAUUGUUUAUCUUUGUUCUUCAUUAUUAUGAAUAUGACUUUGUUCUAUUUCAAUAUAUUGCUUAUGACUUUGCUCUACUUGUUUAUAUUCAAGAUUAUAUUGUUCUUAGUGUAUCAUAGUUAUAUACUUGGCUUAGUUAGAUUGGAUCUAUAUACAUGUUUAGGAUCGUAUAGCGUUUAUCCAUAGGAUCCAUGGGUAAAUGAUAGAUAUUGUGUAGGCGUGGUGCUUAUACCGUAUUUAUCUGCGAUUGUACCCAAUAUGCCAGAUCGUGGGGUAGUUCGUGAUAGUGACAACUUCAUUGAUUCUUAUAUAGUAUCCCUCUCGUGUAUUGGGCUGGCAGAGCAACAUUGUUACAGGGGAGUGAUUACGAUGUUUAUCAUAUUCCUUGCUAAUAUCACUAUGUAUGGGCGUAGUCUUGUCUCACAAUGAUUGCUAAGUAUGCUUGCACUAACUAUGAUAAUGCUAGACUAUAUAGUUGAGAAUAACUUAGGAAAUAUUCUUGUAGUUCGUUCUAAUUCCAUGCUAAUGACUUGCUAGAAUAUCUAAUUGAGGUGCUUAUCAUAUUUAUUAUGUGGCUAAGUUAUGCUGAUCAGAUUAAUUUUCUUUGUCACUAUUUAUUACUUUAUAUCCUUUAUGUGACACUUACCCCUGUAUGAAAGAGUUAGAUAAAUGUUCUCAAUUAUACAUGCAAUGAUAGAUACCCAAUCUCAUAUUCCAUUCUAUAAUCAACAUUGAUGAUUGCUAAUCCCUUCCCAGUGGUAAAAAUAUAAAUAACGAUGCCUAGAAUACUUCCCGGUUAAAAUGCUACAUCGGUAUUAAUCUGUGCGCUUGUAGAUCCCAUUCAUUAUUUAUUUAGAUGAGCAAUUGCAUAUUUCAAUACUGCGUCUAUCAUAUCAUGCUAGGGAUGACAACUUGGCUUAAGUGGUAUGAGGGAUAGGUUUGGCAUUUUUCGCACCAUUAUCAGAAUUAGAAAACUAAGUCUUGUCACACCCAUAUUUUAAGAACAAAAUAGGAUGCAUAUAAGACUCAUAUGUGCCCCAGAAACAGUCGCACACAUAAGUAGAUAAAUCUCAAAUGUACCAUUGCAGUGUUUAUUACAUAGCGGAACAAUAAUAAAUCACAUAGUCUUACACAAAAAUAAUAUGAGAUAAACAACGCUCUUGACGGAAGCACCACACAGGGACACUGUUGACUGGUUGACUCCAAACCUAGUACUCAUAACGGUAAUCCUCAUUCCAGUCAUCUUCAUUAUCAUAUCCUGAGGUGUUAGGAAAUUGCAAGAGUGAGCACAUAUCGUACUCAACAAGUAUAACCAGGGGUUCAUGAGGCUCAAAUAGCUGACACUGGUUUGACUGCAUUUAGCUUUUAAUAGUGGAUAGCAUGUUUACUCAUUGGAUAGCAAAUCUCAAGGUAGCAUUAUUAAAUCCCAUAACCACAUGAUCAAUGUAUACAAGAAUUAAGAAUAACACAUAUAAACAACAUAAUAAACCAUCAUUUAUUAUCAUUAUUCACGUUCAUCAGUGUCCAUCUAUUCCGUCAGUUUUCCGAGCCGCCCGUAUCUGUGGGCACGGCUAGUAUACCAUAUUUAACACUCUGCAGAGGUUGUACAUCUUUACCCAUGAGUCGUGAUUUACCCUUUCGCCCGAGGUUGCAAGUCUCUGAACCCCCUUCCUAGGGAGGUCGGCAGGGAUCACUAUGAAGCCUUUCAAAGGUUUCGUCUAACAAGUUAGGGCGAUUAGAUUCACUCGGCACGCAGAUAUAGAGCCUCCCUUCCAUGGCACAUAACCCGCAGCCUAUACACAUGGACAGAGGCCACACUAUACCCAACGUGUCUAGCCAUUCUUACGCCAUUUAAGGUAACCACUAACAAGCUAGAAAAGGUCAUACUGAGCUAAAACCAGAGCCAUAUAGCCCUCAUGGUUGUACGAAUUGUCCCAGCUUUUGCCAAGGGAUAAGUCCUUAUGGAGGGUCAAGAUCAAUCUAGCAAAAGCUAGAGUUCUUUCCACCCUUUAUGUUCAAGUUGCUAGAAAGCUUAUUUUAUUGUUUAUUGUACAUUCAAAUAUUCAUGUUACAAGAUCAUGGGUUAAUAUUCAAGCACUAGCAAGAACUACCCAAAUGCAUAUCCAAAAUAGGUAAUAAGGAAUUCAGGAUAACAAUCAUCUAUGAUUUUGCUAAGGUCAUCAAGGUGGACACAUGCAUAUGAUAAAUAUUGUAUUAAUUGUGUAUAGGUAACAAGGAUGAUCCCAAGUUAUACUUGCCUUGCUCAAAGCUCUCCUGAGCCUGCUGGUCUUCAAAGGCUUGGUCUUGAUCACCAACGUACGGCUCACCGUCUAUUUCCAAACAUUAAUCAACAACACGCAAUCCAAUGUAGACAAUCAUACACAAAGCAAACAACUAUAAUUAGAACAUUACACCAAACAGUAGUAAAACAAAUUUAAAAGUUUACCAAAAUAUUCUAUGCAGCUCUACGAUCACACAAACGUAAAGUUCACGAAAAUCGGAAUUAAAACGGAGUAGUUAUGCAAUUUCCAAGAUUUCCUAUAGAGAAAUAAUUAAUUAAAUGCUACUGCAGAACUAAAAAGUUUCAAAACAGUAAACUAAUACUUCUAACAUGUAGGGAUCGUAAAUACGAAUCCAAUGGAAUUUGAAUGGACAAAAACGGAGUUAAAAUGAGCAUUUUAUAAGCAAAACAAAUCCAGUGGCAAUUCUAUAAUUAGCUAAAAACGUAUUUAGCUUCAUCCCGAACGAAAAUACGCUUUCUACUCAGCAACGCGUAUUUUCCGGAGGGCGCCAAGGACCGCGGGCGAAUUACAAAAGAACACACGGACUCUUUAGAAAGAUUUCCAACGAAGGGGUAUCUUCAUUUGCUGGCCAUCCGAUCUCCAUCCGACGGCCGAGAUUUAGCAACGCGUAUUUUCCGGAGGGCGCCAAGGACCGCGGGCGAAUUACAAAAGAACACACGGACUCUUUAGAAAGAUUUCCAACGAAGGGGUAUCUUCAUUUGCUGGCCAUCCGAUCUCCAUCCGACGGCCGAGAUUUCUCCAGGGGUUAACAGCGGCGGCGGCCGACCAGCUUCCUGGUCUCCGGUGCGGUGGCGCCAUUGUUGCCACUGUUGAUAUUUGGUAACGCAAUUAGAAAAUGAUCCGCAAGCGCACGGAUAUCGGUGAGCAUUUCACCCAGGAGGUUUUCCAGAGUAUCGUAUUUAUAUUUUUACCACUGGGAGAAAGGGUGCAUCUGACUAACCAAAUCUAUUGCUUCUACCCCUUUAGGCUACAAAGAAUGUCUCUCGAUGUGAGUGAUGUAUAGAGAAGACUACAACCGUAGUCUCAUUCUAACCUUGGUAAGGAUAAUCUACUGUUCUAUUGGGGAGGCUCACGGAAUCUAGACAACACAAAGGAUGUUCGACCCGCACCUAUAACCCUACCCGUCCUGCUAACGAGAUGUGAUCUACAAAGGUAACUCGGAAAUGUCACGUUCCUCGCUACUACCACGGUCCAGCUAGUCAGGGGAUAUCUAUGAGUACCCUAGCCUAAACACCACGUUUACGCUAACAAGUGAUUACUCUAAUACUCAACCGGAAGAGGAUUAAAGUAAACUCAUAAACCAAAGAACAAUAAAACAAGAACUUACUAGUAUUAGAAGUCGAAUUACUGAAGAAUCUUAGAAGCAAGCCUUGGGUUAGGAGACUUGAUCCCGUAGGUACAACUCGGAGUAGACACCGACAGGCCGGCCUUCCUCCGAUCCACACCUCCACUCUAUCUCUCUCAAUCUAGUAGAAACUAGAAGAUCUAUUUCUACUUUACAUUGGAUGCUAAGCCUAAAAAGAAAUAUUAUUUAGAGAAGAGGUUUUCCUUCGAGGGCACCCCUCAAUCUCUAUGAUAAUUUCUUGUCUUCUCCAGGGCCAGGGGGGCCUUGCUUAUAUAGUCCUCCACUUCUAUGCGUUUUUGGGUCGAUAGGCGAGGUGGUACUAUGUUUUCCUUGAUCCAAUAGGUCGGUGGAACGUCGUGUGCGAAGAGAGUCCGGAACGGAGUCCAGAGGGGGGCGGGCGCCCAGGUCCUCAGGGCGGGUGCCCUGGGCCUGGCCCCUUUCGGGCUCCGCUUCCUUCCCGUGGCUUCUAGAGUCUUCUAGAUGGUAGAAAAUUGCGCGGUGGGUUGAUAUCUCUAUGUAAUCCCGACAUGUGGGCCUUUCUUCCUUAUUUCCUGAUAACCCCCUGCAGAAAUAGACAAACACCAAAACUCGUGGAAUUCUGUCAGAUAAAACCCUAAGUCUAGAUGUUGAUUUCAUUUGGAUCCUUUUCUUUGUUUAUUUGAUAAUUAAAUUUGAUACUUAAGGACCGUCAACAAACUCCCCCAAGCUUACCUCUUGCUCGUCCCUGAGCAAGGAUAGACUCAGCUAUGGAUCAUAAAUUGUUGCAAUAUUUUUAAAAAUUGAUGUACACAUGCUUUUUAAAUAAGAUCUCAUCUCUGAGUUAGAGUAAACUGUCAAGACUUAAAACUUACUUACUUUACCUUUCACCAUGGGACUUGUAACCGUCACUUCUGUCUUGAGUGGUUAAAAGAUAGAACAGUCUAGCCAAGUGCCAUGUCUCUUAUUCUUGAUCAGCUAUAGCUCUAGAGUUUUUGCAGAUUUUCAAAUAAAACUCAGAGAUUCCUUGUAUGAUUCUCUCAGAUCUCUCUUUUGUGGUAUUUUUGGAUCCUUACCAAGGCAGUAAUGGGAUAUGCCUUCUCUCAAUAUAUGUAGUAUUUGUGGUAUGAAGCAUAGUGACAUUGUCUUCUCUCUCACCCUACUCUAAUAAGGCUUUAAUAUCUGGAGCUCAUAGGUGGGAGAUAAAGUAUACAUACUUACAAGACAUUUAUUGCAUAGUCAAACCAUGGAUCUAAAGAAACAAAUCAAUAAGCCAAAUCAAGAUGUGCAUGUGUGGCGAAUGAAUGGUGUAUGGUGAUGAUGGUGAUAACAAUGGUGGUGGAAGUCUAAUUCUACUUUGCUCUUUGAGGGGAUACAUACCUUCCUUGCUUUUGAAACUUUAUGAGGAGAAUGAGAUGCUCUUCUUUUUUUUUCUCAGGUGGGUAUCUUGCACCCCUAAUUCUACUGUCGGACACUUGUCCAUUUUUACCUCUCGUCUCACUUUUUCUUUUCUUUCGAGGUUCCGAGCACUUGCUCCUUUUUAUUUCCUCGUAUCUCUUUUUUUUCUUUUCUUUCUUUUUUUUAGAGCACUCAUCUCCUGAAAUAAUAUAGCAAGUGGUAGUAACCAGGAUAACUCGAGCAUUUAUUUCACAGGGAAUAACAGGGAUAGGAUAAUAUUUUUGGAUAUUCUCUCCUGGAUUAGGAGUAGAAUAAUUUUUGGGUGAAUGUGGAGAUGGAAAUGAGUGGAUAUAUUUGGAUGGUACUUCCGGAGUAGAAGUAGCAUGUAUGAGUGAACGUGCAAGUGAAUCUUGAUUUAACCAUAUGACAAGCUCCUAAGGGUCUACACAGCUUGACCACACUCAAUGCUCAUAAGCAGAAAAAAGUAAAUAUGUGGCUCAAAGUCUAGCAAGCAUGUAUAUAUGGCUGUGGUAGGAAUUUAAACUCUCAUCAUAUAGGAACUCAUCAUGUGUUAUUUUAAAGAUUUUUAAAGAUAAAAUUCUCCAGAAUUCUAGCAUCUCUAGGAACAGAUAAACAGCAGCUCAACCUUCCCAUAUCGUAUCCGUUAACAACUUAGACUUCAGAUCAAGUUUUUAUCCCACAAGUUUAGGUCUAGAGCAAGCCUUAAAUUAUAACAGUUAUAUCUAAACUCGAGAGAGAACUUCAAAUUUGCAAAUUAGGCAGAGCAACUAUUCAUCAUAUCCAUGCUUAAGUUUUAUUAUUAAGAUUCAGAUUAGCAUAGCCACUUUAUUAAACACACUAAGCAAAAUAUAUAUAAGCAUAAAAUCUUUAUUUGGUUUUUUAUAGUUAUGUGUAUUUAUAUUCUAAUAUAGUAUAAGUAUAAAGAUAGAUAGAAAUACUUAUCGUGAUAAAUGGGGGUGCUCUCCCCCAAGCUGAAUUUUGACGUAAUUUCUCUUGAUGUAGCUAGCACGUGGCAGAGGUGUGUUUGAAAGUCAGCAGUAUUUUGACAGCGAUUAGAAUGUCCUCCGUCUGCUAGUCUUCUUGAUUCUUAAAUUCUGUGGAGCUCAAAUAGACAACAAAGCUUGUGGAACUGAUUAAGUGUUAGCAUAAAUAUCUAGCCUGUAUCAUGUUGAGACUCCUUAAUAAAUAUUACUCCCUGUUUUUAUAUUUUUGUUUUUAUAAAGUAGAAAAAUAUUUAUUUUAUUUUUAUGCCACCACAGUGAAUGUACUUAUGGGUUUUAUGCCACUCGUCUACUCACAUGGGGCUUACAGUUUUUUUUUCACAUUUUUAUUUUCUUUCUAGGAUAAUACGAACAUGAUUAACUAAGUAAACUAUUUGAAAUAAUUAAAAGGGAAAGGAUAACUACCAAGUUUACCUCUUGGCAAGGCGUUCGGUGUUUUUAAGUCCUCCGAAUGGGACUCCUUGUGUUUUCAGUCAUCCUGGGAUUCGCUAGGUGGCGUAGUCGGUGAUUCCGGUGGCGCCUCCUCUUUGUGUAUAACUAUGUUCUCUUUCCACACCUGACUCGGUGCUACGGUCUCCUCAGGACAGUUCUGUUCAAGUUGUAUGUCUUCAGUCCUUAUCACUUCUCCUUCGUAGUCUACCCAUCCGUCCUUGAUGAUUUUACUCCUCUGGUUGCGGUUGCGUUGUCUUCUUCUUGUCCUGACCUGCUUAGAGUCUUCAACUAUAUAGUUAGGGUCAAUAAAAUAGCGGCGUACCUUCUUAGAGGGGAAGUGCAUGUGGACUUCUCCGGUUCCAAUGUAGAUGAUAACUUUGAUAGUGUUGAUGAACGGUCUUCUAAGGAUGGUGGGUGGAUCAUACUCGUCUUCUCCCAUGUCAAUGACCUGAAAAUCAUCUGGAGCUGAAUAUAUUGGUUGUAGGGGCAUGGUUCCAUGCAAGAGCUGAUAAGUGACUACGGCCAUUAUGUUGUCGUCAGAUCCGGUGUCGUAGAGUGUCUUCUAAAAAGAGUAUCCAUUGUUUGUGCAUUUGAUUCUUGGAACACCAGGGUCGUCCUUCUUGAUCAAGAAAGGUGACUUGUGUCGACGAUCUUGACCUCCUUGAACUGCAGUGACCAUCUUAGCUGACUCUAUCCACAUUUGCUUGUUCUUGUUUCCUCCUGUUGGUCCUCUUUCUUGGUUGAUGUCAGGGUUGCUCUGAAGUUUGUGUCGUCUUGUUCUUGAAGGAAAGUCUCCUUCUUCCCCUUGAUGUAGAGACUGAUCUUGGCAGCAUUAGCGUAGAUGACAGCUCUGGUGUUUAGGAAUGGCCUCCCUAAGAUGAUGGGUGCCCUCUCCUCAGUGCCAGUCUCUAUCACCACGAAGUUUGCUGGAGUGUGCAAGGUACCAACUCGGACAUAGAGGUUCUUCAAUAUUUCCUUUGGGAAACUAAGUGUCUGAUCUCCAUUGUGUUUGUGCUCGUAGAUCCCGGUUCUUCACUUGAUGGAAUCUGGGAGUUGUAAAACGCCUUCACGUUUCUCAAAAUGUGUCCUGCUCAUAGAGACAAGGCAGAGAUCAAGUGCAUGGGCCCUGUUGGUGGAAAACACCAACAGAACCAAAAGUGUAUUUGUUCUUCUCUAACCUUAAGCAUAGUGAGCAAGACAAAGUUGAUGGAUCAUGAGUGUAGCAUUUAAAACAUUUGUUAGAUCAGAUGGCUCAACCUAAUGGAAAGAUAAUCUAUCUAUAUUUAUGUUUUGUUUAUAUCUUUCAAAGAUUGAAUGUGCAAUACUUUAGCUUAUAUGAUUAGGAGUGUGGGAUCACGAAGGUAGUACUAAGAACAAAGAUUAAAGGACUAAACAUGUUGAAUUAAUUGGGUUGGUAAAUUUGGAGUUAUAAAUCAUACAUGUUUGUCUCUUUAUUUAUGUGAAUGCCAGAACCAAGGAGAAGCUUAUAAAAGUGUUGGUCAAGUACCUUAAGAUGUUACCUUACUUGAAGAGUGAUGGUACAGUAUCACCUUGUGGAAGCUUUCCUUUCUUAGCGGUUGUGUAUCGUGUUUGUGGCACUCUCCAUGAAUCAUCUCUUUAUGAUGAAUGAGCUAUGUCCUUCUUGUGUAAAUUGUUAAACUUCAUGUGUCUCCUUUAUCUCCAAUGAGUUUGUAUCUCAGGACUUCCCAGGUUGAUAUUGAAAGUUUUCCUGCAGGGGUUAGUCCAACAAAAUAUCCCAUAUCUACUAUAGCAUACUAUCGUCUCAAAAAUCAACCUAGACACCAUGUCUAAUUUGAUUUAGGAGGGCAUUUUAACCUAAGCACCAUGCUUAAUUUAAAAAUCCUUUGGAAGUGAGAUCAUCAUUCCUAAACUAAGCACCACGCUUGAUUUAAGAGAUAAAUGAAACUACUCCAAACCUAGACAUAUACUAAAGCAAAUAAAGGUAGCAUGAGAGCAUUUAUAGCGAUCUACUCAAGUGGAGGUGAAGUAGUGUAAUUAGUACUUAACAAAUUGAGCAUCUCUCAAAGGUAGGGACAACCAACGUAGCAACAUGGCAAAGGAUGUUUUUAUGUAAAGUACUCCCCCAAGCUUGAAUUUUGCAAAAUUCAAGUUUGGAUGAAUUUAAUUCAAUGUUGUGUGAUGGUUGGUUGGACAUACCUUGUGCUUGUUAUUCAUCCGAUCUUCUUGCUCCAAUCCUGGAAAGGUUAGUGACAAGAAUACCCGAAGGAAUAUUUCUACAAUAUGCUCAAUACACAAGGCAAUGUUGCAAAUAAGUGCUUGUUUUAGGACACUAAGCUUGUCCUUGGGAAACCAUCAAUUAACUCAACGAGAUCUGCAAUAUUUAUUAUAGACAUAUGCAUCGACAACCACUCUUUUAAAGUUUUUAUAAAUAGAAAAGAAGAGAGGGUUGGAUAUCUCAAAUGUGACAAGGAUGGAGAGACUAAUUGAUUGGAGAGAUGUUUUAUAUGAGCAAGGACUGGGUGAGGUAUUUAUGAAAUAACUUUCAUGCUCACUGUUGUUUCUCUCAUUCUCAAACUCCAAGGAUGUUUCUUCAUGAAUGUUUAAAAUUCCUCUAGGAUUGUCUCUCAAGUUUGUUUUAUCUAUCCAUUCAAUGGUGAUAGCACAUGGAUUUUUAAUGCCCUCUAGCCAUUGAUGCUGCUCUUCUCGAUCCUCCUUGUAGUCUUGGUGACUCUUAUGAAUGGGAUGUCUAGAUAGAUUCAUAGGAUUAUCGGGAGGUUCAAGAGAAAAAGCGUAGUAGAAAUUAUUAGGCUCAAGGAUGGGUUGGAUAGCCGAAUCAUGGGAUUGGAAUGUUUGGAAAUCGGCUAUUGAAACUUCCUUUCCUCGUCUGGGAGAUGAUUCCUUCUCUAUCUCUAUGAUUUUUCUAUGAAGACUAGUACAAGAAGGAUGUCCACAAAUGAAGACAUACCUUCCUUUACUAAUAGAUAAAGAAAGAAAGACUCUACCAAAGGUUAUAUGAUUAAGACCAAUGUGAAAAUAUCGAGAAAAAACAUGGUCUUGUAGGGCUAGGUCUAAACCAGAAUUUAUAAAAAGAUUAAUAGAUUCCCUAGGUGUAGCUAAAAGUGCAUUAUCUUUUUGAUUAAUAGAUAGGACCUCGGCUAUAGAAAAGGGUUGGUUUUGACCUAUUGCAAUCAACUCCGGACACAGAUCAUAAUUAGGGGCAGAACGUGUUGACUCCCAUGGUCUAUGGAUGGUCUCCGAAGGUGCAAAGAAUUCAAUAAUAGGUAUGGAAUUUAAGUUAUCCAUAAAGAUAAAAAUAAAAAGAUAAAAGAAUAAAAGUAUAAAAGUAUAAUACAAGAUAAUAGCAAGACUCAAAGUUAUCUCAGCAAACCGUCUUUCUCCCCGGCAACGGCGCCAGAAAUGCUUGUUGAUAUUUGGUAACGCAAUUAGAAAAUGAUCCGCAAGCGCACGGAUAUCGGUGAGCAUUUCACCCGGGAGGUUUUCCAGAGUAUCGUAUUUAUAUUUUUACCACUGGGAGAAAGGGUGCAUCUGACUAACCAAAUCUAUUGCUACUACCCCUUUAGGCUACAAAGAAUGUCUCUCGAUGUGAGUGAUGUAUAGAGAAGACUACAACCGUAGUCUCAUUCUAACCUUGGUAAGGAUAAUCUACUGUUCUAUUGGGGAGGCUCACGGAAUCUAGACAAUACAAAGGAUGUUCGACCCGCACCUAUAACCCUACCCGUCCUGCUAACGAGAUGUGAUCUACAAAGGUAACUCGGAAAUGUCACGUUCCUCGCUACUACCACGGUCCAGCUAGUCAGGGGAUAUCUAUGAGUACCCUAGCCUAAACACCACGUUUACGCUAACAAGUGAUUACUCUAAUACUCAACCGGAAGAGGAUUGAAGUAAACUCAUAAACCAAAGAACAAUAAAACAAGAACUUACUAGUAUUAGAUGUCGAAUUACUGAAGAAUCUUAGAAGCAAGCCUCGGGUUAGGAGACUUGAUCCCGUAGGUACAACUCGGAGUAGACACCGACAGGCCGGCCUUCCUCCGAUCCACACCUCCACUCUAUCUCUAUCAAUCUAGUAGAAACUAGAAGAUCUAUUUCUACUUUACAUUGGAUGCUAAGCCUAAAAAGAAAUAUUAUUUAGAGAAGAGGUUUUCCUUCGAGGGCACCCCUCAAUCUCUAUGAUAAUUUCUUGUCUUCUCCAGGGCCAGGGGGGCCUUGCUUAUAUAGUCCUCCCCUUCUAUGCGUUUUUGGGUCGAUAGGCGAGGUGGUACUAUGUCUUCCUUGAUCCAAUAGGUCGGUGGAACGUCGUGUGCGAAGAGAGUCCGGAACAGAGUCCAGAGGGGGGCGGGCGCGCAGGUCCUCAGGGCGGGCGCCCUGGGCCUGGCCCCUUUCGGGCUCCGCUUCCUUCCCGUGGCUUCCGGAGUCUUCUAGAUGGUAGAAAAUUGCGCGGUGGGUUGAUAUCUCUAUGUAAUCCCGACAUGUGGGCCUUUCUUCCUUAUUUCCUGAUAACCCCCUGCAGAAAUAGACAAACACCAAAACUCGUGGAAUUUUGUCAGAUAAAACCCUAAGUCUAGAUGUUGAUUUCAUUUGGAUCCUUUUCUUUGUUUAUUUGAUAAUUAAAUUUGAUACUUAAGGACCGUCAACAGCCACCACGAAGGUCGCCGGCGUUCUUCAAUCUCGUGUUUUUGGCCACCAAACUCCGAACCAAGCGCACGGGUCGAAAGAGGAGGGAGAGGCGAGCUCACCUACGCCGAAAACAAGGACGAAGAAGACGCGGGGACGGAGCAGUGCUCGGUAUGGCGGAAGACAACUCGGCGAGAUCUGAAACUCGAGAUUUACGAAGAUAGGGCACGGCUUGGAUGAUUUGGAUGUGAAAAGGGAGAUGCGGGGCGGCUCAGGGGCUUUAUAGGUGUCUUAUGCGGGAAGUAAUCCUGUCCAAAUCGGGAUUGAUUCGCUCAGAUUUCCUUCGGCGGUGUCCUGCUCAGGUACGCGCGUUGGGGAAGAAAAGAGGGAGGGAGAGGAGGCUGACACGCGGGACCCAUCUGGCGGUGAAGGGGGAGGUGGGACCCAGACGACGGUGAGAGAAGAGGCGGGUGGGAAGCUGGGUUGCUUGCCGGGCCGAGCGCAGGGUGGAAGGGGGAGUGGGCCGCGUGCGAGGGAGGGGGAAAAACAGGCCGGGGGUGGGUCUGGCUGGGUUUACCUUUUCUUUUUUUUUCCUUUUUUGUUUUAUUUUUCCUAUUUCUUCUUUGUUUUCUAAAGUCUUUUUGAAAAGAGAUUUUAAAUCCUUUUGGGAGAAAUACAAAAUACAUAGACAAAAAGCAAGCAAGCAAUUAAAUAAAUAAAUUAAUUCCAACAUGAAUGCACCACCAUGUUUCUAAACUUAUAAUAAAUUUUAAUUUUGACCAAAACUAUUUUAUUUACUAGAUUAAAUGCUCACCAAAAAUGCUUAAUUAAAUCAAAUUAAUUCCUAUUAAUUGAAAACAAAUUUUUGGGUGUUACAAAUUCUACCCCGUGUUGACGGUCCUUAAGUAUCAAAUUUAACUAUCAAAUAAACAAAGAAAAGGAUCCAAAUGAAAUCAACAUCAAGACUUAGGGUUUUAUCUGACAGAAUUCCACGAGUUUUGGUGUUUGUCUAUUUCUACAGGGGGUUAUCAGGAAAUAAGGAAGAAAGGCCCACACGUCGGGAUUACGUAAAGAUAUUAACGUGCCGCGCAAUUAUCUUACAUCUAGAAGACUCCAGAAGCCACGAGACCGAAGCGGAGGCGAAACGGGGCCAGAGACAGGGCGCCCGCCCUGUCCUACUGGGCGCCCGCCCACCUCCUGUGGCCAAUCACGCUCAAUCUCGCGGAUUAUGUUCCACCGACCUAAAGGAUCAAGAAUAACCGUUCAAUCAAUGUCGGUUUGAUCCGACGGCCCAGGUUCACUUGAGGGGACUAUAAAACCAGACCCCCUGGCCCCUGGAGGAGACAACCCCUUGAUCAUUAUUCAUUAUUCAUAGAAAGAGCAAAAGCUAGGGUUUAGAGAUGAGAGCUCUCCUCUCUUCUCUAAACUAGAGUAGAUCUAGAUAGUAGCGAGAUGGAGAGCGAAGGAGGAUUAGAGGAGAGGCCGGCCUGUCGGUUCUUCCUCCGGUUGUACUUCGCCAUGAUCAAGCUCUAAUCAAGCUUGCUCAUGGGAUGACUCUGGUAAUCUACUUCUAAUUCAUUAUGCAAUUACUAAUCAUGUAUGUUCUAGUUCACAACUCUUUUGAGUACUUCUAAUCUAUAGGACCCUAUAGGUUAGAGUUGUAGUAUAGGUGUAAGCGUGGUGCUUAGACCUAGAUUACUUGUGGAUAUCCCCUGACUAGCUGGAUCGUGUGGUAGGCCGCGUAGGUGACAGUUACGUUGGUCCCCUGUAGUCCACCUCUUGUUAGCAGGACGGGUAGGGUUUAUCGGCCUAUGGAUAAGCAUCCUUUGUGGUGUACUCUUAUCACAUGGUUCGUCCCAGACAUAGACAUACCCCUUUGAAGUAGAGAAACCAUAGUUAUCCUCUCUAUUCUGCUACCAUCGCCUAUAUACUAGAAUUGCUCUACUCUCUAUUCCCAUAUUAUCACUCACUGUUAUCUUACCUUUAAUAUUGUUCUUAUUCGAUUCUACUAUCUUUCCUAUUCACACCAAUUUACUUAUCUUGGUUAAGUUAGAGCGUAGAUCAGUUCUUCCGUUUCCCUGUGGAUACGAUAAAACCUUUAACCGGGUAAAAGCUUCAACGGUAUCCGUGCGCUUGCGGAUUAUCUGUGUGCGUAUAAAUACCAUAGUACACUCUAGUGCCACGCUGCGGAUGACAACCUAGUAUUCAAGUGGUGUUAGCAAGUGUCAACAAGCAUUUUUGGCGCCGUUGCCGGGGAAACGGUUGCUGAGUUGACUACGAACUAGUUUAAUCAUUUUAUAAAAAAUAAAUAAAUAAAUAAAUAAAUAUAUUUUCCUUUUAUCCUUUGCCUCAUCUCUGCUAUUCUUUCUUCUUAUCUAAUCCUUGAUCUCUGGUCUAUUAUGAAUUCAAAUAUGUCUAUCUAUGAAUUUCAUUUCAGAAGAAGUUCUUUGCCCAAAACUUUCGAUUCCAGAAGAAGUUCUUCUAAUUCACUUUUUUGAGGGCCUUAGUAGGAAAAAUAAGCAAACCCUUCAUGCGGCCUCUAGAGGAUCUUUCCACCACCUAUCCGCUAGUAAAGCUUGGAAUUUGAUUGAUUUAAUGAGCGGAAAGUCUCCUAGCUUUUAUAUCCCUGAGAAAGAGACAGUACCAGUUCCUAGACAAGAAGAAGAAGUUUUGAUAGCCAGAUCACAACCACUUCAAUUCCAAACUUUAGCUAUCGAUCCUAAACCAUCAAUACCCCAAAAUUCUUCAAGGGAGGGAGGAAUUCCGAACUUAAAUCUUUCAGAUACUAAUGGUUUAGACUUUUAGUUCCAUAAGAGACCUUCAAGCAGGGAUAAUUCAAAUCCUCGCAAUAAUGGUUCUCUUAGAGAAUGUCCUGGUUCCUGUUAUGAAGAAGUCGAGGAUGACAUAUCAAGUGAAGGAGAGCUAAGCCAUAUUGAAAAUUCUAACACCUCCCCUUUCCUGAUUACAAGUUCUAAAUGGCUAGAAUGUGUAGAAUGGAUGGAUAAGGAAGAAGCCUUAAUGAAUUCUUACUUUGGAUCAAUUUCAAAUGGUGAGUUCUUGACUCCCUUUGAAGAUGGGAUUCAUCCAACUAUAGAAGAGGACAUAAGUGAGACCAAUCCAAGAGAAACUCUGAACAUUCAGAUUGGAGACGAAGAUAACAUUAAUGAGGAUGGAAUUUAUUUCAUAGCCACUUUGUUUACUCCAUGCUCAUAUGCAAUAUCUUCCCAAUCUAUUGGUCUCUCCAACAUCACCACAUUUGAGAUCUCCAACCCCCUCUUCCUUUCUAUUUAUAAAAACUUUAAAAGGGCGGUUGUCGAUGCAUAUGUCUAUAAUAAAUAUUGCAGAUCUCGUUGAGUUGAUCUAGAUAUAGGUUGGCGUCAGAGGGGAAACCACUUCGCCAACAUAAACUGAUGGUUUCCCAAGGACAAGCUUAGUGUCUUAAAAUAAGCAUUGAUCAGAUCGUAACAUGAGCUUUUAAUUAUUUACAACAUUACCUGGUGUAUUGAGCAUAUAAGGAUAAUCGUAAAAAUAUUCCUUCGGGUAUUCUUGUCACUAACCUUUCUAGGAUUGGAGCAAGAAGAUUGGAUGAAUGACAAGCACAAGGUAUGUCCAACCAAUCAUCAUAUAACAUUGAAUUAAAUUCAUCCAAACUUGAAUUUUGCAAAAUUCAAGCUUGGGGGAGUACUUUACAUAAAAACAUCCUUUGCCAUGUUGCUAUGCUGGUUGUCCCUACCUUUGAGACAUGCUCAAUUUGUUAAAUACUAAUCACACUACUUCAUCUCUACUUGAGUAGAUCUCUAUAAAUGCUGUCAUGCUACCUUUGUCUAUUUACUAGCAAGUGUUGGUUUGGAAGUACUCGCCAUACUUCCAUUGGCAUUUAAAUUAAGCAUGGUGCUUAGGUUAAAUAGCCUUCCUUAAUCUGAUUAGACAUGGAGUCUAGUUCGGUUAUUGAACUAAAAUUGCUUGUGUAGACAUUGGUAUAUUUUUGUCGGACUAACCCCUGCAGAAAAACUUUCAAUAUCGAUUUGGGAAGUCCUGAGAUAAACUCACAUCAGAGACGAAGAGAGUGACACAUGAAGUUUAACAAUUUGCACAAGAAGGACAUAGCUCAUUCAUCAUAGAGAUAUGAUCCAUGGAGGGUGCCAUGAACACGAUGCACAACCGCUAAGAAAGGAAAGCUUCCACAAGGUGAUACUGUACCAUCACUUUUCAAGCAAGGUAACAUCCUAAGGUACUUGACUAUCACUUUUAUAAGCUUCUCCUUGGUUCUGGCAUUCAUAUAAAUAAAAGAGACAAACGUGUAUGAUUUACAACUCUAGAUUAACCAACCCAACUGAUUCAACAUGUUUAGUCCUUUAAUCCUUGUUCUUAGUACUACCUCCAUGAUCCCACACUCCUAAUCAUAUGAGCUAAAAUGUUACACAUUCAAUCAUUGAGAGAUAUAAAGAAAAAGACAUAUACAUAGAUAGAUUAUCUUUCCAUAAGGUUGAGCGAUCUGAUCUGACAAAUGUUAUAAGUGCUACACUCAUGAACUUAUCAUCCAUCAACUUUGUCUUGCUCACUACGCUUAAGGUUAGAGAAGAACAAAUACACUUUUGGUUCUGUUGGUGUUUUCCACCAACAGGGCCCAUGCACUUGAUCUCUGCCUUGUCUCUAUGAGCAGGUACACUACGAGCACAAACACACUGAGCAAGAUACUGCUAACACCUCACUUCGAACUGCUGGGCAAACGAAGAACAUGGGUGACACCGUAUUAAAAGGUGCAGACAUCAAGGUCCGCACCUGAAUCAAAUGACGCACCUAAAGAAUGAACACGGUGAGAAGUCUUGUCAAGAAGACUUAAAACAUUGAACCCUCGCCGAAAGGUAAGAUUGGUAGUUAUCCAUAUUUAUCCUUUCUGCAUUCUCUUUUCCCUUUAAUUAUUUACUUUCCUUAAAUAGAUUUUUAGUUAAUCAUGCUAUCUUGAAAAGAAAAUAAAAAUGUUAAAAAAUACUAAGCCCCAUGUGAGUAUACGAGUAGCAUAAAACCCAUAAGUACCUUCACUGUGGUGGCAUAAAAAUAAAAUAAAUAUUUCUUUUCUACUUUAUAAAAUAAAAAUAUAAAAAGAGGGAGUAAUAUUUAUUGAGGAAGCUCAACAUGAUGAAGGCUAGAUAUUUAUGCUAACACUUAAUUAGUUCCACAAGCUUUGUUGUCUAUUUGAGCUCCACAGAAUUUAAGAAUCAAGAAGACUAGCAGACGGAGGACAUUCUAAUCGCUGUCAGAAUGCUGCUGACUUUCAAAUACACCUCUGCCACCUGCUAGCUACAUCAAGAGAAAUUACGUCAAAAUUUAGCUUGGGGGAGAGCACCCCCAUUUAUCUCGCUAAGUAUUUCUACCUAUCUUUAUACUUAUAUUAUAUUAGAAUAUUAAAAUACAUAAACUAUAAAAAAAAACCAAAUAAAGAUUUUAUGCUUAUAUAUAUAUAUACUUUUCUUAGUUUGCUAAAUAAAUAAAUAAAGUUUGCUAUGAAUCUUAAUAAUAAAACUCUAGCAUGGAUAUGAUGAAUAGUUGCUCUGCCUAAUUUGCAAAUUUGAAGUUCUCUCUCAAGUUUAGACAUAACUGUUAUAAUUUAAAGCUUGCUCUAGAUCUAAACUUGUGGGAUGAAAACUUGAUCUGAAAUCUAAGUUGUUAACGGAUAUGAUAUGGGAAGGUUGAGCUGCUGUUUAUCUAUUCCUAGAGAUGCUAGAAUUCUGGAGAAUUUUAUCUUUGAAAAAUCUUUAAAAUGUUGCAUGAUGAGUUCCUGUAUGAUGAAAGUUUAAAUUCCUACCACAGCCAUAUAUACAUGCUUGCUAGACUUUGAGCCACACAUUUAUUAUUUACUGCUUAUGAGCAUUGAGUGUGGUCAAGCUGUGUAGACCCUUAGGAGCUUGUCAUGUGGUUAAAUCAAGAUUCACUUGCACGUUCACUCAUAUAUAUGCUACUUCUACUCCGGAAGUACCAUCCACAUAUAUCCAUCCAUUUCCAUCUCCAGAAUCACCUAAAAAUAUUCUACUCCUAAUUCGGGAGAGAAUAGCCAAAAACAUCUGUGUUUUUUCCUUGUGAAAUAAAUGAGUGCUCUACCACUUGCUAUAUUAUCUCAAGAGAUGAGUGCUCUGAAAAAAAAAGAAGAAAAAAAAAGAGAAUAAAAAAAUAAACGAGGAAAUAAAAAGGGGCAAGUGCCCGGAACCUCGAAAGAAAAGAAAAAAAAGUGAGACGAGAGGUAAAAAUGGAUAAGUGUCCGACAGUACAAGAUACCCACCUGAGUGGAAAGAAAAAGAAGAGCAUCUCAUUCUCCUCAUAAAGUUUCAAAAAGCAAGGAAGGUAUGUAUCCCCUCAAAAGAGCAAAAGUAGAAUUAGACUUUCACCAUUGUUAUCACCAUCAUCACCAUACACUAUUCAUUCGCCACACAUGCACAUCUUGAUUUGGCUUAUUGAUUUGUUUCUUUGGAUCCAUGGUUUGACUAUACAAUAAAUGUCUUGUAAGUAUGUAUACUUUAUCUCCCACCUAUGAGCUCCAGAUAUUAAAGCCUUAUUAGAGUAGGGUGAGAGAGAAGGCAAUGUCACUAUGCCUUAUACCACAAAUACCACAUAUUUUGAGAGAAGGCAUAUACUAUCACUGCCUUGGUAAGGAUCCAGAAAUACCACAAAAGAGAGAUAUGAGAGAGUCAUACAAAGGAAUCUCUGAGUUUUAUUUGAAAAUCUGCAAAAAACUCCAGAGCUAUAGCUGAUCAAGAAUAAGAGACAUGGCACUUGGCUAGACUGUUCUAUCUUUUAACUACUCAAGACAGAAGUGACGGUUACAAGUCCCAUGGUGAAAGGUAAAGUAAGUAAGUUUUAGUUCUUAACAGUUUACUCUAACUUAGAGAUGAGAUCUUAUUUAAAGCAUGUGUACCGUUAAAUUUUUAAGAUAUUGCAACAACUUAUGAUCCAUUGCUGAGUCUAUCCUUGCUCAGGGACGAGCAAGAGGUAAGCUUGGGGGAGUUUGUUGACGGUCCUUAAGUAUCAAAUUUAACUAUCAAAUAAACAAAGAAAAGGAUCCAAAUGAAAUCAACAUCAAGACUUAGGGUUUUAUCUAACAGAAUUCCACGAGUUUUGGUGUUUGUCUAUUUCUGCAGGGGGUUAUCAGGAAAUAAGGAAGAAAGGCCCACACGUCGGGAUUACGUAAAGAUAUUAACGUGCCGCGCAAUUAUCUUACAUCUAGAAGACUCCAGAAGCCACGAGACCGAAGCGGAGGCGAAACGGGGCCAGAGACAAGGCGCCCGCCCUGUCCUACUGGGCGCCCGCCCACCUCCUGUGGCCAAUCACGCUCAAUCUCGCGGAUUAUGUUCCACCGACCUAAAGGAUCAAGAAUAACCAUUCAAUCAAUGUCGGUUUGAUCCGACGGCCCAGGUUCACUUGAGGGGACUAUAAAACCAGACCCCCUGGCCCCUGGAGGAGGCAACCCCUUGAUCAUUAUUCAUUAUUCAUAGACAGAGCAAAAGCUAGGGUUUAGAGAUGAGAGCUCUCCUCUCUUCUCUAAACUAGAGUAGAUCUAGAUAGUAGCGAGAUGGAGAGCGAAGGAGGAUUAGAGGAGAGGCCGGCCUGUCGGUUCUUCCUCCGGUUGUACUUCGCCAUGAUCAAGCUCUAAUCAAGCUUGCUCAUGGGAUGACUCUGGUAAUCUACUUCUAAUUCAUUAUGCAAUUACUAAUCAUGUAUGUUCUGGUUCACAACUCUUUUGAGUACUUCUAAUCUAUAGGACCCUAUAGGUUAGAGUUGUAGUAUAGGUGUAAGCGUGGUGCUUAGACCUAGAUUACUUGUGGAUAUCCCCUGACUAGCUGGAUCAUGUGGUAGGCCGCGUAGGUGACAGUUACGUUGGUCCCCUGUAGUACACCUCUCAUUAGCAGGACGGGUAGGGUUUAUCGGCCUAUGGAUAAGCAUCCUUUGUGGUGUACUCUUAUCACAUGGUUCGUCCCAGACAUAGACAUACCCCUUUGAAGUAGAGAAACCAUAGUUAUCCUCUCUAUUCUGCUACCAUCGCCCAUAUACUAGAAUUGCUCUACUCUCUAUUCCCAUAUUAUCACUCACUGUUAUCUUACCUUUAAUAUUGUUCUUAUUCGAUUCUACUAUCUUUCCUAUUCACACCUAUUUACUUAUCUUGGUUAAGUUAGAGCGUAGAUCAGUUCUCCCGUUUCCCUGUGGAUACGAUAAAACCUUUAACCAGGUAAAAGCUUCAACGGUAUCCGUGCGCUUGCGGAUUAUCUGUGUGCGUAUAAAUACCAUAGUACACUCUAGUGCCACGCUGGGGAUGAAAACCUAGUAUUCAAGUGGUGUUAGCAAGUGUCAACCCCCCGCUUAAAAGAAUCUCGUCCUCGAGAUUGAGCAGUGCAUAAACAAACAACUGUGGCUAUGAUUCUCUCCAAUCAUUCUCUCUUUCCCAAGUUGCUUCUACCUCUAAAAACCGAUUCCAUUGCACUAGCAAAUUCAUGUCUCUAGUCAAGUAACAUACCUGGUAACUUAUCUGAAAAUUUAUUCCCUACACAGUCCUGAAGAUCAACACCAUCAUUCAGCUGAUUCACUGCAGCUGUGGGUAGAGCCUGCACUGCUACAUCAACACUUAUUCUAUCUCCCUUUGGUGUUGUCACAACUACUACUUUCUCUUUGCACUUAAUCUCCGUAGUAUAUUUCUUCAUCCAAUCCAAACCCAAUAUCACAUCUAUGCCUGAGGUUCUCAUAACCAUGGGACUAACCGGGAAAUCUACCCCCCUUAAAGAAAGACUUGCUGAGGGGCAACAAUAAGAAACCGGUAUAGUCCCUCCCGGUGAGUUUACUAGCAUAUGAGUUUUCAUGGCAACUAGUGGAAUGCUAUGAACUCUAACAAAUGCUUGUGAUAUGAAUGUAUGCGAAGCUCCAGAAUCAAAUAAGACUGUAGCGGGGAUAGAGUUGAUACUGAACGUACCCAUCAUAAUCUCCGGUCCCUCUUGUACCGUCUCUGCAGCCACAUGGUUCACCUUUGCUCCAUGAGAAUUAGACUUUUGCUUGUUGUUCUACUGGUUGAAUCUCUCCGGGCAAUCAUAUGACAUAUGACCAUCUUUCCCACAGCGAAAACACCUAGUAGGGGUAUUGGGAGCACUUCUCUUCAUAGAGGUGGCAUUUGAAUUUCCUGAGCGGGGAAUCUACUGACCACUCUGCUGUUGAUUAGGAUUACGCUGAGGUUGUUGGUUGCGAUCCCAUUGACCAACCGGUCCCUGGAACCUCUGUUGAUCGGCUUGCCGCGAAUUGAAACGUUGGCGGUUGUUGCCUCUAGAACCUUGUGCUAGCAUCCUUCUCUUCUUGUCCUGGCCUUUGCGCAUGUUAUCCAACAUGAUAGCACGGUUCACUAAAGCCUGGAAGGUAGGAUAUGUGUUUCCAGCUAGUUGCAACCUAAGUUCAUAGUAGAGACCUUUCAUGAAGAGACGUUGUUUGUUAGCAUCCUCUCUAACUUCGUUUGGGGCAUAGCGAGCCAACUGCUCAAACAUGUCAUGAUACUCAGCCACAGACAUAGAACCCACCCUGAGAGAUCUGAAUUCUUCCUGCUUGAGCUCCAUCAUUCCUUCAUUGAUAUGUCGUGCUCGGAAAUCUCUGCAGAAUUCCAACCAAGUGACAGGAGGAGCAUUGUUGGGACGAGCAGCUUGAUAUGACUCCCACCAUGUCUGAGCUGCCCUCUGAAGCUGUCCAGAAGCAUACAACACCUUCUCCAAGUCAUUGCACUGCGCCAUGUUCAGUUGCCUCUCCACAACACGUAGCCAAUCAUCUGCCUCCAUAGGAUCAGCUAAGUGUGUAAACACCGGAGGUCUUCCUUUCAUAAAUUCACCACGCUUAUCUCUCACAUGAACUGGUGGUGGAGGUUGCUGCUGUAGGUGCUGCAUGAAGACGUGCAUCAUCUCAUUCUGAGUUUGCAUAAGUUCCUCCACAGUAACUGGGGCAUUACCACCAUUGCCACGGCCUCUGCCUCUGCCUCUUCCCCUUGCUGCCAUCUGCAUUCGAAGGUAUAGAAACAUGUCUUAGUAAUGUCCAACAUGACAAUUACAAGAGGUAACAGAAUCUGAAAUUUUCUGGGUAACAUCCAACAUCAGCAGAUCAGAAAAUUUGUCACAUCACGAGUUCCAAAAUUCAAAAGGAUAUAUGCUGUACACCGAUGGAAAUAUAAAGAAAUUGUCUACAACUUUCAUUUAGAUCAUAUUACCAGAUUCCCACGUUAGGUUCAUCAAAAACUGGGUACAACCGAAUCUGUUCUAGAAUUCCAGACUGCACAGAAACCUCAAUUAAACAGUCAUAUCUCACAGCUCAUAACAGAUAAUAAUGUCAUUCUUGAGGCAUUGGAAAGAUAUGAAGGUCCACUUGUUCCCAUAAAAAUUUGAUGAACAUUGCACGAACAGAUUUUGAGAUGUACCAGAUUCUUUGCAGACUGCUCCAGAAAACAGCAAAAGACAGAAACAGAAUUUUAACCAACCCCAACUAUUUAGUUCAUUAAUCCUUAUGCCUUAAGCCUAUAAACUAAAUGAAAUUGUAGAGGAAAUCCACAAGAUCAUUACACUCAUUACAAAGAUCCAAAUCAAGCAUAAGCAUAAUAACAAACCAAACCAAGCAUCAAAGUUUCACACUUCAAGCAUUGACUCAACUUGCGGUGCUAACGUUCUCUUCCUAUUAAGGGUAAAGAUCCUAUUACUCCUAUUUCAAUGACGUUAGAAGGUGGUAAGGAAAGUUCUAAAAGCAUAUUCAAAGCAAGAAGUGGGGAUGAGAACAAGUCUUUAAAAUAAGCAACAAGGUAAAGAUGAAUAGGAUAUAGUGUAGAAGAAAAUAUCAAGGUUUAUAGAGCAAGGAUUUUAUAGCAAUUUCAAAACCUUAAGACGGCCAAUUUCUAACUAGGCUUGCGUCCGACAGUCAACAAAGCUUUGAUACUAAUUUGUCACACCCAUAUUUUAAGAACAAAAUAGGAUGCAUAUAAGACUCAUAUCUGUCCCAGAAACAGUCGCACACAUAAGUAGACAAAUGUCAAAUGUACCAUUGCAGUGUUUAUUACAUAGCGGAACAAUAAUAAAUCACAUAGUCUUACACAAAAAUAAUAUGAGAUAAACAACGCUCUUGACGGAAGCACCACACAGGGACACUGUUGACUGGUUGACUCCAAACCUAGUACUCAUAACGGUAAUCCUCAUUCCAGUCAUCUUCAUUAUCAUAUCCUGAGGUGUUAGGAAAUUGCAAGAGUGAGCACAUAUUGUACUCAACAAGUAUAACCAGGGGUUCAUGAGGCUCAAAUAGCUGACACUGGUUUGACUGCAUUUAGCUUUUAAUAGUGGAUAGCAUGUUUACUCAUUGGAUAGCAAAUAUCAAGGUAGCAUAAUUAAAUCCCAUAACCACAUGAUCAAUGUAUACAAGAAUUAAGAAUAACACAUAUAAAGAACAUAAUAAACCAUCAUUUAUUAUCAUUAUUCACGUUCAUCAGUGUCCAUCUAUUCCGUCAGUUUUCCGGGCCGCCCGUAUCCGUGGGCACGGCUAGUAUACCAGAUUUAACACUCUGCAGAGGUUGUACAUCUUUACCCAUGAGUCGUGAUUUACCCUUUCGCCCGAGCUUGCAAGUCUCUUAACCCCCUUCCUAGGGAGGUCGGCAGGGAUCACUAUGAAGCCUUUCAAAGGUUUCGUCUAACAAGUGAGGGCCAUUAGAUUCACUCGGCAGGCAGAUAUAGAGCCCCCUUCCAUGGCACAUAACCCGCAGCCUAUACACAUGGACAGAGGCCACACUAUACCCAACGUGUCUAGCCAUUCUUACACCAUUUAAGGUAACCACUAACAAGCUAGAAAAAGGUCCUCAUACUGAGCUAAAACCAGAGCCAUAUAGCCCUCAUGGUUGUACGAGUUGUCCCAGCUUUUUCCAAGGGAUAAGUCCUUGUGGUGGGUCAAGAUCAAUCUAGCAAAAGCUAGAAUUCUUUCCACCCUUUAUGUUCAAGUUGCUAGAAAGCUUAUUUUAUUGUUUAUUGUACAUUAAAAUAUUCAUGUUACAAGAUCAUAGAUUAAUAUUCAAGCACUAGCAUGAACUACCCAAAUGCAUAUCCAAUAUAGGUAACAUGGAAUUCAGGAUAACAAUCAUCUAUGAUUUUGCUAAGGUCAUCAAGCUGGACACAUGCAUAUGAUAAAUAUUGUAUUAAUUAUGUAUAGGUAACAAGGAUGAUCCCAAGUUAUACUUGCCUUGCUCAAAGCUCUCCUGAGCCUGCUGGUCUUCAAAGGCUUGGUCUUGAUCACCAACGUACGGCUAACCGUCUAUUCCCAAACAUCAAUCAACAACACGCAAUCCAAUGUAGACAAUCAUACACGAAGCAAACAACUAUAAUUAGAACAUUACACCAAACAGUAGUAAAAUAAAUAUAAAAGUUUACCAAAAUAUUCUACGCAGCACUACGAUCACACAAACGUAAAGUUCACAAAAAUCGGAAUUAAAACGGAGAAGUUAUGCAAUUUCCAAGAUUUCCUAUAGAGAAAUAAUUAAUUAAAUGCUACUGCAGAAUUAAAAAGUUUCAAAACAGUAAACUAAUACUUCUAACAUGUACGGAUCGUAAACAUGAAUCCAACGGAAUUUGAAUGGACAAAAACGGAGUUAAAAUGAGCAUUUUAUAAGCAAAACAAAUCCAGUGGCAAUUCUGUAAUUAGCUGAAAACGUAUUUACCUUCAUCCCGAACGAAAAUACGCUUUCUACUCAGCAACGCGUAUUUUCCAGAGGGCGCCAAGGACCGUGGGCGAAUUACAAAAGAACACAGGGACUCUUUAGAAAGAUUUCCAACGAAGGGGUAUCUUCAUUUGCUGGCCAUCCGAUCUCCAUCCGACGGCCGAGAUUUCUCCAGGGGUUAACAGCGGCGGCGGCCGGCCAACUUCCUAGUCUCCGGUGCGGUGGCGCCAUUGUUGCCACCACGAAGGUCGCCAACGUUCUUCAAUCUCGCAUUUUCGGCCACCAAACUCCGAACCAAGCGCACGGGUCGAAAGAGGAGGGAGAGGCGAGCUCACCUACGCCGAAAACAAGGACGAAGAAGACGCAGGGACGGAGCAGUGCUCGGUAUGGCGGAAGACAACUCGGCGAGAUCCGAAACUCGCGAUUUACGAAGAUAGGGCACAGCUUGGACGAUUUGGAUGCGAAAAGGUAGAUGCGGGGCGGCUCAGGGGCUUUAUAGGUGUCUUAUGCGGCAAGUAAUCCCGUCCAAAUCGGGAUUGAUUCGCUCGGAUUUCCUUCGGCGGUGUCCUGCUCAGGUACGCGCGUUGGGGAGGAAAAGAGGGAGGGAGAGGAGGCUGACACGUGGGAACCGUCUGGCGGUGAAGGGGGAGAUGGGACCCAGACGUCGGUGAGAGAAGAGGCGGGGUGGGAAGCUGGGUUGCUUGCCGGGCCGAGCGCAGGGUGGAAGGGGGAGUGGGCCGCGUGCGGAGGAGGGGGAGAAACAGGCCGGGGGUGGGUCUGGCUGGGUUUACCUUUUCUUUUUUUCCUUUUUUUUCUUUUCUGUUUUCUUUUUCCUAUUUCUUCUUUGUUUUCUAAAGUCUUUUUGAAAAGAGAUUUUAAAUCCUUUUGGGAGAAAUACAAAAUACAUAGACAAAAAGCAAGCAAGCAAGUAAAUAAAUAAAUUAAUUCCAACAUGAAUGCACCACCAUGUUUCUAAACUUAGAAUAAAUUUUAAUUUUGACCAAAACUAUUUUAUUUACUAGAUUAAAUGCUCACCAAAAAUGCUUAAUUAAAUCAAAUUAAUUCCUAUUAAUGGAAAACAAAUUUUUGGGUCUUACAAAUUCUAUCCCCCUUAAAAGAAUCUCGUCCUCGAGAUUGAGCAGUGCAUAAACAAACAACUGUGGCUAUGAUUCUCUCCAAUCAUCCUCUCUUUCCCAAGUUGCUUCUACCUCUAAAAACCGAUUCCAUUGCACUAGCAAAUUCAUGUCUCUAGUCAAGUAACAUACCUGGUAACUUAUCUAAAAAUUUAUUCCCUACACAGUCCUGAAGAUCAACACCAUCAUUCAGCUGAUUCACUGUAGCUGUGGGUGGAGCCUGCACUGCUACAUCAACACUUAUUCUAUCUCCCUUUGGUGUUGUCACAACUACUACUUUCUCUUUGCACUUAAUCUUCGUAGUAUAUUUCUUCAUCCAAUCCAAACCCAAUAUCACAUCUAUGCCUAAGGUUCUCAUAACCAUGGGACUAACCGGGAAAUCUACCCCCCUUAAAGAAAGACUUGCUGAGGGGCAACAAUAAGAAACCGGUAUAGUCCCUCCUGGUGAGUUUACUAGCAUAUGAGUUUUCAUGGCAACUAGUGGAAUGCUAUGAACUCUAACAAAUGCUUGUGAUAUGAAUGUAUGCGAAGCUCCAGAAUCAAAUAAGACUGUAGCGGGGAUAGAGUUGAUAUUGAACGUACCCAUCAUAAUCUCCGGUCCCUCUUGUACUGUCUCUGCAGCCACAUGGUUCACCUUUGCUCCAUGAGAAUUAGACUUUUGCUUGUUGUUCUGCUGGUUGAAUCUCUCUGGGCAAUCAUAUGACAUAUGACCAUCUUUCCCAUAGCGAAAACACCUAGUAGGGGUAUUGGGAGCACUUCUCUUCAUAGAGGUGGCAUUUGAAUUUCCUGAGCGGGGAAUCUGCUGACCACUCUGUUGUUGAUUAGGAUUACGCUGAGGUUGUUGGUUGCGAUCCCAUUGACCAACCGGUCCCUGGAACCUCUGUUGAUCGCCUUGCUGCGAAUUGAAACAUUGGUGGUUGUUGCCUCUAGAACCUUGUGCUAGCAUUCUUCUCUUCUUGUCCUGGCCUUUGCGCAUGUUAUCCAACACGAUAGCACGGUUCACUAAAGCCUGGAAGGUAGGAUAUGUGUUUCCAGCUAGUUGCAACCUAAGUUUAUAGUAGAGACCUUUCAUGAAGAGACGUUGUUUGUCAGCAUCCUCUCUAACUUCUUUUGGGGCAUAGCGAGCCAACUGCUCAAACAUGUCAUGAUACUCAGCCACAGACAUAGAACCCAUCCUGAGAGAUCUGAAUUCUUCCUGCUUGAGCUCCAUCAUUCCUUCAUUGAUAUGUCGUGCUCGGAAAUCUCUGCAGAAUUCCAACCAAGUGACAGGAGGAGCAUUGUUGGGACGAGCAGCUUGAUAUGACUCCCACCAUGUCUGAGCUGCCCCCUGAAGCUGUCCAGAAGCAUACAACACCUUCUCCAAGUCAUUGCACUGCGCCAUGUUCAGUUGCCUCUCCAUAGCACGUAGCCAAUCAUCUGCCUCCAUAGGAUCAGCUGAGUGUGUAAACACCGGAGGUCUUCCUUUCAUAAAUUCACCACGCUUAUCUCUCACAUGAACUGGUGGUGGUGGUGGUGGAGGUUGCGGCUGUAGGUGCUGCAUGAAGACGUGCAUCAUCUCAUUCUGAGUUUGCAUAAGUUCCUCCACAGUAAUUGUGGCAUUACCACCAUUGCCACGGCCUCUGCCUCUGCCUCUUCCCCUUGCUGCCAUCUGCAUUCCAAGGUAUAGAAACAUGUCUUAGUAAUGUUCAACAUGACAAUUACAAGAGGUAACAGAAUCUGAAAUUUUCUGGGUAACAUCCAACAUCAGCAGAUCAGAAACAUUUGUCACAUCUCGAGUUCCAAAAUUCAAAAGGAUAUAUGCUGUACACCGUUGGAAAAAUAAAGAAAUUGUCUACAACUUUCAUUUAGAUCAUAUUACCAGAUUCCAAAGUUAGGUUAAUCAAAAACUGGGUACAACCGAAUCUGUUCCAGAAUUCCAGACUGCGCAGAAACCUCAACUUUAAACAGUCAUAUCUCACAGCUCAUAAUAGAUAAUAAUGUCAUUCUUGAGGCAUUGGAAAGAUAUGAAGGUCCACUUGUUCCCAGAAAAAUUUGAUGAACAUUGCACGAACAGAUUUUGAGAUGUACCAGAUUCUUUGCAGACUGCUCCAGAAAACAGCAAAAGACAGAAACAAAAUUUUAACCAACCCCAACUAUUUAGUUCAUUAAUCCUUAUGCCUUAAGCCUAUAAACUAAAUGAAAUUGUAGAGGAAAUCCACAAGAUCAUUACACUCAUUACAAAGAUCCAAAUCAAGCAUAAGCAUAAUAACAAACCAAACCAAGCAUCAAAGUUUUACACUUCAAGCAUUGACUCAACUUGCGGUGCUAACGUUCUCUUCGUAAAGAUCCUAUAACUCCUAUUUCAAUGACGUUAGAAGGUGGUAAGGAAAGUUCUAAAAGUAUAUUCAAAGCAAGGAGUGGGGAUGAGAACAAGUCUUUAAAAUAAGCAACAAGGUGAAGAUGAAUAGGAUAUAGUGUAGAAGAAAAUAUCAAGGUCUAUAGAGCAAGGAUUUUAUAGCAAUUUCAAAACCUUAAGACGGCCAAUUUCUAACUAGGCUUGCGUCCAACAGUCAACAAAGCUUUGAUACCAAUUUGUCACACCCGUAUUUUAUGAACAAAAUAGGAUGCAUAUAAGACUCAUAUGUGCCCCAGAAACAGUCCCACACAUAAGUAGACAAAUCUCAAAUGUACCAUUGCAGUGUUUAUUAUAUAGCAGAACAAUAAUAAAUCACAUUGUCUUACACAAAAAUAAUAUGAGAUAAACAACGCUCUUGACGGAAGCACCACACAGGGACAUUGUUGACUGGUUGACUCCAAAUCUAGUACUCAUAACGGUAAUCCUCAUUCCAGUCAUCUUCAUUAUCAUAUCCUGAGGUGUUGGGAAAUUGCAAGAGUGAGCACAUAUCAUACUCAACAAGUAUAACUAGGGGUUCAUGAGGCUCAAAUAGCUGAUACUGGUUUGACUGCAUUUAGCUUUUAAUUGUGGAUAGCAUGUUUACUCAUUGGAUAGCAAAUAUCAAGGUAGCAUAAUUAAAUCUCAUAACCACAUGAUCAAUGUAUACAAGAAUUAAGAAUAACACAUAUAAAAACAUAAUAAACCAUCAUUUAUUAUCAUUAUUCACGUUCAUCAGUGUCCAUCUAUUCCGUCAGUUUUCCGGGCCGCCCGUAUCCGUGGGCACGGCUAGUAUACCAGAUUUAACACUCUGCAGAGGUUGUACAUCUUUACCCAUGAGUCGUGAUUUACCCUUUCACCCGAGGUUGCAAGUCUCUUAACCCCCUUCCUAGGUAGGUCGGCAGGGAUCACUAUGAAGCCUUUCAAAGGUUUCGUCUAACAAGUUAGGGCCAUUAGAUUUACUCGGCAGGCAGAUAUAGAGCCCCCCUUCCAUGGCACAUAACCCGCAGCGUAUACACAUGGAUAGAGGCCACACCAUACCCAACGUGUCUAGCCAUUCUUACGCCAUUUAAGGUAACCACUAACAAGCUAGAAAAAGGUCCUCAUACUGAGCUAAAACCAGAGCCAUAUAGCCCUCAUUGUUGUACGAGUUGUCCCAGCUUUUGCCAAGGGAUAAGUCCUUAUGGAGGGUCAAGAUCAAUCUAGCAAAAGCUAGAGUUCUUUCCACCCUUUAUGUUCAAGUUGCUAGAAAGCUUAUUUUAUUGUUUAUUGUACAUUCAAAUAUUCAUUUUACAAGAUCAUGGAUUAAUAUUCAAGCACUAGCAUGAACUACCCAAAUGCAUAUCCAAUAUAGGUAACAAGGAAUUCAGGAUAACAAUCAUCUAUGAUUUUGCUAAGGUCAUCAAGGUGGACACAUGCAUAUGAUAAAUAUUGUAUUAAUUGUGUAUAGGUAACAAGGAUGAUCCCAAGUUAUACUUGCCUUGCUCAAAGCUCUCCUGAGCCUGCUGGUCUUCAAAGGCUUGGUCUUGAUCACCAACGUACGGCUCACCGUCUAUUCCCAAACAUCAAUCAACAACACGCAAUCCAAUGUAGACAAUCAUACACGAAGCAAACAACUAUAAUUAGAACAUUACACCAAACAGUAGUAAAACAAAUAUAAAAGUUUACCAAAAUAUUCUACGCAGCGCUACGAUCACACAAAUGUAAAGUUCACGAAAAUCGGAAUUAAAACGGAGAAGUUAUGCAAUUUCCAAGAUUUCCUAUAGAGAAAUAAUUAACUAAAUGCUACUACAGAAUUAAAAAGUUUCAGAACAGUAAACUAAUACUUCUAACAUGUAGGGAUCGUAAAUACGAAUCCAACGGAAUUUGAAUGGACAAAAACGGAGUUAAAAUGAGCAUUUUAUAAGCAAAACAAAUCCAGUGGCAAUUCUGUAAUUAGCUGAAAACGUAUUUAGCUUCAUCCCGAACGAAAAUACGCUUUCUACUCAGCAACGCAUAUUUUCCAGAGGGCGCCAAGGACCGCGGGCGAAUUACAAAAGAACACAGGACUCUUUAGAAAGAUUUCCAACGAAGGGGUAUCUUCAUUUGCUGGCCAUCUGAUCUCCAUCCGACGGCCGAGAUUUCUCCAGGGGUUAAUAGCGGCGGCGGCCGGCCAGCUUCCUGGUCUCCGGUGCGGUGGCGCCAUUGUUGCCACCACGAAGGUUGCCGGCGUUCUUCAAUCUCGCGUUUUCGGCCACCAAACUCCGAACCAAGCGCACGGGUCGAAAGAGGAGGGAGAGGCGAGCUCACCUACGCCGAAAACAAGGACGAAGAAGACGCGGGGACGGAGUAGUCUCGGUAUGGCGGAAGACAACUCGGCGAGAUCCGAAACUCGCGAUUUACGAAGAUAGGGCACGGCUUGGACGAUUUGGAUGCCAAAAGGGGCUUUAUAGGUGUCUUAUGCGGCAAGUAAUUCCGUCCAAAUCGGGAUUGAUUCGCUCGGAUUUCCUUCGGCGGUGUCCUGCUCAGGUACGCGCGUUGGAGAAGAAAAGAGGGAGGGAGAGGAAGCUGACACGCGGGACUGAAAGGUCCAAAUGGCUAGAGGGGGUGUGAAUAGCCUAUUUAAAAAUUCUACAAACUUCACUAAGCAAGUGAGUUAGUAAAACAAAUAGCGAAGCAAUUUUAGCACUAGCUUAACUAAGCUAUGCAAGCCACCUAUACAAACUAGUACAAGGCUAAACAGUAAAGCACAACAACCAAAGAACUAAGCUAAACAAGCUACACAACUAGCAAGGUAUGCACAAAAGUAAAGGAGAGGUGAGUGAUUGUUAUACCAACGUUGUAGAGUAGAGAUAUAUCCAACCAAUCACUCACAAUGACAAGAGAAUCCUCGGCAAGAGAUGACACAAGAUUUUUUACCGAGGUUCACUUGCUUCCCGGCAAGCUACUCCUCGUUGUGGUGAUACACCCACUUGAUGGAUCACGAGCUAAUUGGCAAUCCAAAGCCAAACCCUCAGCGGGUGCCGCACAUCCACUCACAAGAUGGGGAUCCUCCAAGCCACGAGCAAUCCACUAGAGUAGCCAAUUGCGAUCUCCCGCGGGGAAGGCUCAAGAACCCCUCACAAGUCACUUGGUGAGGCUCGAAACAAUCUCCAAUCACGAGCUCAACACCACCGCUGCUCCAAGCCGUCUAGGGCGUUGGGAAACACCCAAGAGUAACAAGAAAUCCGCAGCAAACUCAAGAAUCAAGUGCCACUAAAUGCAACUCUCAAAGCAAUGCACUUGAAUCUCACUCAAUCUCACUAGGAUGAGCAAUCAAGCAAGGAGAUGAGUGGAGGGAGUGUUCUCUAGCUCAAAGUAUGCCUCAAGUAUUCAAAAGUGCAAGUUAGAGCCUCCCAAAGCCUGCCACCUUCUAUUUAUAAGCCCCUUAAAGAAACUAGCCAUUGGCUGUUUUCACUGGGCUGAAAACGGGGGCACCGGACGCUACUAAGUGAGCACCGGACGCUCGACUCCCUGCGUCAGGUGCACUGGAGUUGGCCACGUGUCCUCUUUGAAUCUCGCGUGUCAGAUCCUAACGGCUACCUGCAACACACCAGACGCUCUGCAAGUCCACACCGGACGGUCCGGUGCUCACCGGACUCGUGCGCAGAGAGGGUGUCAAACUCGCGACCUCACCGGACGCUGGGCACCGGACUCGUGCGCAGAGAGGGUUGCAAAAACACCUCACACCGGACGCUAACCACCGGACGCUCUCAGAGUGCGUCCGGUGCUUAACCCUAGCAGGGUCAAGCGCACCGGACGCUGAAGCCAGCGUCCGGUGCCUCCGCACUCAGCGUCCGGUGAGUGUUUCUCAGAGAGAAAACACUCCCGCGACUACUCCAAAUUUCCCACCGGCGCAAUAGAAAAUAUACACUUAUUUUUGUCAAAAGCGCCGAAUCCCGCCUCGCAAGCUCGACGGGAGGGAGAGAGGAACCCACACCCCUCUCAACCCUAGGAACUCCAUCUCCUUUGCAAAAGUGCUAACACCAACAAGUGUCCACCACCAAAGUGCAAGUGUGUUAGCUUUUCACAAACAUUUUCACCAAAGGAGUUAAGUUAGCACUUUACUAGAUCCUAAUGCAUAUGCUCAAGAUAUGGACCUAGUAGCACUUGAUUCGAGAGAUGACCGUGAUUUCCCCUCUUGAUAGUCGGCUAUCUAUCCUAAACCCGGUCAAUCACUUCUCUACUCAUCUUAGACCGGCAAAAGUAAAACCCUAUGUUUAUACCUUUGCCUUGUUCACUUUCUCCCUUGUCCGUCAUCAUGAUUUCCACAUCAUGCUUCAUCUCUUUGUAAUCAUGUGGCCACCUUUCCAUGCCACCAUGUACCUUCAUCACAUGUGUUGCUAUGCCUAACUCAAAUCACUUAAACACAAGGCAUUAGCAACUUGGUGUCAUUAAUUACCAAAACCAAACUUGGGCUUUCAAUCUCCCCCUUUUUGGUAAUUGAUGACAACCAUCACAAAGAUAUGAAAUGAAAUCAUAAUGAACUUGAAUUGCUUGUCCAAAGCAUUUUUAUCAUGAGACAAGAUUGGACAAACAUUUCAAUUUCGGUUUUGGUAGUACUAGAUCCCCCUACAUAUGUGCUUCCAUGAGUUUGGUUCAAGUUUGCACAUAUGCAUGAAUUAGAGUUUUGGGAGAUUUAUUACUACCAAAAUGAUGCUAAGGUAUAUAGAAUGGACCUUUGAAGCGUGAUACCAAUCGGAGUUGCCAAUAUACCAUCCUUAGCACCAAUGUAGCUAGACAUACAUCAAAAACUCAAGAUACCUCGUGAGAUCACAUUAUAUGUCUAGAUACCACAUGAAAAUAAGACUCUAUGCUAGAAUUCAAAGCAUCAUUCAAGUUCUAUUUCUAGCAAACACCAAUCAAACAAGAGUAGUGAAUUUAAACUUGCAAUGCAACACCUCAUUAUGUUAGUGCACAUUCAAGUGCAACAAAUGGUUCAUGAGCUUGCUCCCCCUAUUUGUGUGCUCAAGUGUAUCUCUCCCCCUUUGCACUUUUCUCCCCCUUUAUGACUUUAUCUUUGUUUCUCUCCCCCUUUGUCAUCAAUGACCACAAAGGUUCAAAUUUUAGUGAGAAUUAAGUCAAUCAAUGUGAGGGUCAAAUUAUGGUUCAAUCUAGAUUACUUGCCUAGAAUAUGUAAUUCGGUUUGAUCCAAGGACAAGCUUUUUCACACCUCAUAAAGUAUAAGGGUUAUCUUGACCAUGUUGAAUUACACAUCAUAAGCUCAUAUUCUAGAUUCAACGCUAGGCUUGCAAGCUCACAAACAUGUCAUAUGCUACCACUAGAUCAAUCAAUCAUAGAAGCAAUAGUGGUACCAUACAUACAUCAAAAUCUUUUGUUUUUCAUGAAUGAGCCUAUUUGUCAUGCAAAUAUGUCUAUAUGUUCUAAUCUUGUCCUUAGCAAAGUAUGAAUGAUAUGUCAACCAACUUUACCUUGCUUUGUUGGAGGAGAGGCAUGUCAUAUAUAAAUGUGGGGGUGCACUCAUCUCAAGUUGGAGAAGUCAAGUAUGUUCAAUUCAUUCCUCAACUUGCAAAAUCUCUUCUCAUCAAGUGGCUUUGUGAAGAUGUCGGCUAGUUGAUCUUCGGUGCCAAUGCUUUCAAUGCUAAUAUCACCCUUUUGUUGAUGGUCUCUUAUGAAAUGGUGCCUUAUGUCAAUGUGCUUGGUUCUUGAAUGUUGAACCGGAUUUUGUGUCAUCUUGAUUGCACUCUCAUUAUCACAUAGCAAAGGCACAUUCUUGAAUUUGAUUCCAAAGUCAUUCAAGGUAGCUUUCAUCCAAAGCAAUUGUGCACAACAACUACCGGCACUAAUGUAUUCGGCUUCGGCGGUUGAUAGUGCAACACUAUUUUGUUUCUUUGAUGACCAUGAAACUAGAGACCUUCCUAGCAAUUGACAAGUGCCACUUGUGCUCAUUCUAUCAAUUUUGCAUCCACCAUAGUCGGAGUCCGAAUAUCCAAUCAACUCAAAGUUUGAUCCCUUGGGAUACCAUAAUCCAACAUCAUGAGUGCCCUUGAGAUACCUCAAUAUUCUUUUGGUUGCCUUCAAGUGACUCUCUCUAGGUGAAGCUUGGUAUCUUGCACAUUUGCACACACUAAACAUUACAUCCGGCCUUGAUGCGGUGACAUAGAGCAAACUUCCAAUCAUGGACCGGUAUAACUUUUGAUCUACCAUGUUUCCACUUGCAUCACUACCUAAUUGAUCAUUUGUGCCCAUAGGUGUGCUCAUUGGUUUAGCUUCUUGCAACCCAAACUUCUUGAUCAUGUCCUUGAUGUACUUUCCUUGACUUACAAAAGUGCCAUUUUUCAUUUGCUUGAUUUGAAGACCAAGGAAGUAACUAAGCUCUCCAAUCAUGGACAUUUCAAACUCAUUAGCCACCAUUCUUCCAAACUCUUCACAAAAGUCUUGAUUGGUUGAUCCAAAGAUGAUAUCAUCAACAUAGAUUUGCAACACGAACAAGUCAUUGCCUAGCUUCUUGGUGAAGAGGGUAGUGUCAACCUUUCCCAUCUUGAACCCUUUAGAGAGAAGGAAAUCUCUCAAUCUCUCAUACCAUGCUCUAGGUGCUUGCUUUAAACCAUACAAUGCCUUCUUGAGCUUGUAAACAUGGUUGGGUUUCUUGUCAUCUUCAAAACUGGGAGGUUGUUCAACAUAAACCAACUCAUUGAUGUAUCCAUUGAGAAAUACACUCUUCACAUCCAUUUGAUAGAGCUUGAUGUUGUGGGCACAAGCAUAGGCUAAUAAUAUUCUAAUUGCCUCCAAUCUUGCAACCGGUGCAUAUGUUUCUCCAAAGUCAAGACCUUCAACUUGAGUGUAGCCUUGUGCUACUAAUCUUGCUUUGUUUCUCACAACUACACCAUCUUGAUCUUGCUUGUUUCUAAAGACCCACUUGGUUCCAAUGACAUUGUAGUUCUUUGGCCUCUCAACAAGCUCCCACACUUGAUUUCUUGUGAAAUUGUUCAAUUCUUCAUGCAUGGCAUUUACCCAAUCGGAGUCCUUCAAUGCAUCUUCUAUUUUCUUUGGUUCCUCAAAUGAGACAAAUGAGUAGUGCUCACAAAAGGAUGCUAGCCUUGAUCUUGUUUGUACACCACUUUGAAUACCUCCAAUGACUUGAUCCAAUGGAUGAUCCCUUGCUAUGCUAGUAGGUUGGAGUAUUGGGAAUUGAUUGCUUCCACUAGCUUGAUUUUGAUCUUGAUCAUCAUCAUAAGAGCCACUAGUACUUGCUUGAUUUGUAUGAAUUUGCACUUCUUGAUUGAUCAUGUGAAUAUCACUAUCAUCAUCAACUUGCAUUGGCCUUAUGUCACCAACAUCCAUGUUCUUCAUUGCAUUUUCCAAUUGAUCUCCUCUCACAUCAUCAAGAUUUUGAGCUUCAUUUUGAGAUCCCUCGGUUUCAUCAAACUCAACAUCAUGGACUUCUUCCAAUGUGCCACUUGCCAAGUUCCAAACUCUAUAUGCCUUGCUUGUGGUGGAAUAACCAAGUAAGAACCCUUCAUCACAUUUCUUCUCAAACUUGCUCAAUCUAAUGCCUUUCUUGAGAAUGUAGCAUUUGCAACCAAACACUCUAAAGUAUGCAAUGUUGGGCUUUCUUCCAUUCAAUAGCUCAUAUGGUGUCUUCCCAAGCUUCCCAUGGCAAUAGAGACGGUUGCUACAAUAGCAAGCCGUGUUGAUAGCUUCACUCCAAAAUGAAUGACUAACAUUGUACUCACUAAGCAUUGAUCUAGCCAUAUCAAUCAAGGUUCUAUUCUUCCUUUCAACUACACCAUUGGAUUGAGGAGUGUAUGUUGGAGAGAAUUGAUGUCCAAUGCCAAGAUCAUCACACAAUUCCUCAAUUCUUGUGUUCUUGAAUUCACUACCAUUGUCACUUCUAAUCUUCUUGAUAGUGGUUUCAAACUCAUUUUGCACCCUCUUGACAAAAGACUUGAAUAGAUCACAAACAUCACUCUUGUCAUAGAGAAAGAACACCCAAGUGUAUCUAGUGUAGUCAUCUACUAUCACAAGUCCAUACUUGUUGCUACCAAUGCUAGUAUAUGUUGUUGGCCCAAAUAAAUCCAUGUGCAAAAGCUCAAAUGCCUUUGAUGUGCUCAUUUCACUUUUCUUAGGAUGUGCAUUUCCAACUUGCUUUCCGGCUUGACAAGCACUACAUGGUUUAUCCUUCUCAAAGGUGACAUCCUUCAAGCCUCUAACUAAGUCAUGCCUCAAUAGUUUGUUCAAUUGUUUCAUUCCAACAUGACCAAGCCUUCUAUGCCACAACCAACCCAAACUUGAUUUGCUAAUUAGGCAUGAUGUCAAUUGAGUGUCACUAUCAUUGAAAUCAACCAAGUAUAAGCUACCAUGCCUAAAUCCUUUGAAUAUCAAGUUUGAUCCAUCAACACUAAUCACCUCAACAUCAUCACUUCCAAAGAUGCACUUGAAACCAAGGUCACAAAGUUGUGCAAUAGACAAGAGAUUGAAAUCAAGGCUCUCAACUAGCAACACAUUUGAUAUGCUCAUGUCAUUUGAGAUAGCAAUUUUACCAAGCCCCUUGACCUUGCGUUUCUUGUUGUUACCGAAGGUAAUUGAAUCAAAGCCACCAUUUUGACUAGUAUCAAUUGAUUUGAACAUACAAGACUCCCCGGUCAUAUGUUGAGUGCACCCACUAUCAAGCACCCAAUGCCUUCCUCCGGCUUUGUAAUUGACCUACAAGACAAGAUCAAUUCUUUUUAGGUACCCAAACUUGAUUGGGUCCUCCAAGGUUAGCAACUAAGCUCUUUGGUACCCAAAUGGCUUUCUUCUUUGAGCCCAUCCAUGGUGCACCAAUGAACUUAGCAUGAACACCUUUUGUAUCCUUGGUAAGUACAUAAAAAGAAUUAUGCUUAAUUGAGGAUACAUUAGCUUUGGGUUUCUUGUUCAUGCAUUGUUGCUCUAAGUGACCAACUUGCUUGCAAGCUUUGCAAUACCGGCCUUUUGUCUUCACAAAACUAGUCUUGUGAGGAGCAAAGGCGGACUUGCCUUUCUUGGGGUUAUAGCCCAAUCCCUCUUUAUAGAGAGAAGCUCUUUGGCUACCCAAGCACAUAAGCAAGCGGUCCUCACCACCAUAAGCCUUGGCUAAGGUGUGAUUGAGCUCCUUUACCUCCUUCUUGAGAAUUUCAUUCUCAACUUUUAGUGUGGUGUCACAUGUGAAACCAUCACUACUAGAUGAGGGAGAUGUAGAUGUGCUACAUGAAGGGUUAGUCGAAGCAACAACAAUAGGCUUACUUAAGAUAUCACAUGUUAGGCCUAUGUUGCAAGUUUUAGCUUUCUCAAUUUUAGUUGGCUCAUUUUCACAUUUGUUAACUAGAGAGGAAUGAGCUUCUUCAAGCUUAGUGUGAGCCUUUUGAAGCUUCUUAUGGUCUUCCUUUAGAUUCUCAUAAGAUGCUCUAAGCUCAUCAAGUUCUUGCUCAAGGGUUUUCUUAUCCUUAAGCAAAGCCUUGCACUCCUUUCUAGUUUCUUUAUAGUGAUGAGUGCAAUCUUCUAGCAUAGUGAUUAGUUCAUCUUUAGUUGGUUCAUCAUCAUCACUAUCACUUGCAUGGUCACUCUCAUCAUCGGAUGAUACCUUAGUGGCCCUAGCCAUGAAGCAUGAUGGAGUGUCGAAGAUGGAGCUCUUUUCUUGAAUUGCAAUACUAGCAUGUGCCUUCUUCUUGGUGCUCUCAUCAUCACUUGAGGAAUCAUCACUAUCCCAAGUUGCAACAUGGGCAUCACCCUUCUUCUUGUUUGAGCCUUCCUUCUUUUCUUGCUUCUUCUUUUGCUUCUUUUUUUCCUUCUUGAUAGCAUCUUCAUCAUCACUAUCAUAAGGACAUUUGGCAAUGAGAUGAUCCUUGCUAUGGCAUCUAAAGCACCUCAUGGAGUGGUCAUUCUUCUUGGAGGAGCUCUUCUUCCUUCUUGCCCGAUAGCCCUUCUUCUUCAUAAACUUGCCAAAUCUCUUGACAAGGAGAGCCAUCUCCUCAUCUUCAUCACUAUCACAAGAGCUUGCUUCUUCUUCACUUGAUGAUUCUUGCUUGGCUUUGCCCUUGGAUGUGGAGGCCUUGAAUGCCACACUUUUCUUCUUCUCAUCAUCUUUCUUCUCACCAUCCUUCUUUUUCUUCUUGAUCAACUCAUCCUUCUCAUAAUCUUCUCUAUAAGCAUCAUCGGUCAUCACUUCUUGGAAGACUUGUUGGGGAGUUGAUUCACUAAGUGUUGUCUUGACUAGCACGGUGAUCAAUGUGUCAAAUCUCUUGGGCAAGCUUCUCAAGAACUUCAUAGAGAAUUGACUAUCCUUCACUUCUUCCCCAAGUGCCUUGAGCUCAUUUACAAUAACUUGUAACCGGUGAAACAUCUCCGCCACACUUUCAUCUUCUUGCAUCUUGAAGCUUGAGAACUUUUCUUGGAGGAUGUAUGCUUUGGCGGUCUUGGUUCCCUUGGUGCCCUCAAAUGUUUCUUCUAAUUUUGCCCAUGCAUCAUGAGCAAUCACAAUGUUCUUGAUUUGCUCAAAGGUCUUGUCAUCAAGAGCUUCAUGAAGAGCACUAAUUGCAAUAUCAUUGCAUUGUAGCUUCUUCUCUUCAACCGGUGUUGGUGCAUUCUCAUUUGCAACUUCAAACUUUGUUUCGGUCACCUUCCAAACCUCUCUAUUGAUUGACUUAAGAUGAGCGGUCAUCUUGACCUUCCAAUAUGCAUAAUUGGUGCCAUCAAAGAAAGGUGCCUUCUUGGUGUUGUUGAUAUGCAAACUAAGAGCCAUUUCUUCACCGAAGGUUGUUAAGCCUCAAAUAAACGGUGCCUCAGCUCCCAUACCACUUGAAAGGUCCAAAUGGCUAGAGGGGGGGUGAAUAGCCUAUUCAAAAAUUCUACAAACUUCACUAAGCAAGUGAGUUAGUAAAACAAAUAGCGAAGCAAUUCUAGCACUAGCUUAACUAAGCUAUGCAAGCCACCUAUACAAAUUAGUACAAGGCUAAACACUAAAGCACAACAACCAAAGAACUAAGCUAAACAAGCUACACAACUAGCAAGGUAUGCACAAAAGUAAAGGAGAGGUGAGUGAUUGUUAUACCAACGUUGUAGAGUAGAGAUAUAUCCAACCAAUCACUCACAAUCACAAGAGAAUCCUCGGCAAGAGAUGACACAAGAUUUUUUACCGAGGUUCACUUGCUUCCCGGCAAGCUACUCCUCGUUGUGGCGAUACACCCACUUGAUGGAUCACAAGCUAAUUAGCAAUCCAAAGCCAAACCCUCAGCGGGUGCCGCACAUCCACUCACAAGAUGGGGAUCCUCCAAGCCACGAGCAAUCCACUAGAGUAGCCAAUUGCGAUCUCCCACGGGGAAGGCUCAAGAACCCCUCACAAGUCACUUGGUGAGGCUCGAAACAAUCUCCGAUCACGAGCUCAACACCACCGCUGCUCCAAGCCGUCUACGGCGUCGGGAAACACCCAAGAGUAACAAGAAAUCCGCAGCAAACUCAAGAAUCAAGUGCCACUAAAUGCAACUCUCAAAGCAAUGCACUUGAAUCUCACUCAAUCUCACUAGGAUGAGCAAUCAAGCAAGGAGAUGAGUGGAGGGAGUGUUCUCUAGCUCAAAGUAUGCCUCAAGUAUUCAAAAGUGCAAGUUAGAGCCUCCCAAAGCCGGCCACCUUCUAUUUAUAAGCGGCUUAAAGAAACUAGCCGUUGGCUGUUUUCACUGGGCUGAAAACGGGGGCACCGGACGCUACUAAGUGAGCACCGGACGCUCGACUCCCUGCGUCCGGUGCACUGGAGUUGGCCACGUGUCCUCUUUGAAUCUCGCGUGUCAGAUCCUAACGGCUACCUGCAACACACCGGACGCUCUGCAAGUCCACACCGGACGGUCCGGUGCUCACCGGACUCGUGCGCAGAGAGGGUGUCAAACUCGCGACCGCACCGGACGCUGGGCACCGGACGGUCCGGUGCUCACCGGACUCGUGCGCAGAGAGGGUUGCAAAAACACCUCACACUGGACGCUAACCACCGGACGCUCUCAGAGUGCGUCCGGUGCUUAACCCUAGCAGGGUCAAGCGCACCGGACGCUGAAGCCAGCAUCCGGUGCCUCCGCACUCAGCGUCCGGUGAGUGUUUCUCAGAGAGAAAACACUCCCGCGACUACUCCAAAUUUCCCACCGGCGCAAUAGAAAAUAUACACUUAUGUUUCUCAAAAGCGCCGAAUCCCGCCUCGCAAGCUCGACGGGAGGGAGAGAGGAACCCACACCCCUCUCAACCCUAGGAACUCCACCUCCUUUGCAAAAGUGCUAACACCAACAAGUGUCCACCACCAAAGUGCAAGUGUGUUAGCUUUUCACAAACAUUUUCACCAAAGGAGUUAAGUUAGCACUUUACUAGAUCCUAAUGCAUAUGCUCAAGAUAUGGACCUAGUAGCACUUGAUUCGAGAGAUGACCGUGAUUUCCCCUCUUGAUAGUCGGCUAUCUAUCCUAAACCCGGUCAAUCACUUCUCUACUCAUCUUAGACAGGCAAAAGUAAAACCCUAUGUUUAUACCUUUGCCUUGUUCACUUUCUCCCUUGUCCGUCAUCAUGAUUUCCACAUCAUGCUUCAUCUCUUUGUAAUCAUGUGGCCACCUUUCCAUGCCACCAUGUACCUUCAUCACAUGUGUUGCUAUGCCUAACUCAAAUCACUUAAACACAAGGCAUUAGCAACUUGGUGUCAUUAAUUACCAAAACCAAACUUGGGCUUUCAGGGACCCGUCUAGCGGUGAAGGGGGAGGUGGGACCCAGACGUCGGUGAGAGAAGAGGCGGGGUGGGAAGCUGGGUUGCUUGCCGGGCUGAGCGCAGGGUGGAAGGGGGAGUGGGCCGCGUGCGGGGGAGGGGGAAAAACAGGCCGGGGGUGGGUCUGGCUGGGUUUACCUUUUCUUUUUUUUUCUUUUUUUUCUUUUCUGUUUUCUUUUUCCUAUUUCUUCUUUGUUUUAUAAAGUCUUUUUGAAAAGAGAUUUUAAAUCCUUUUGGGAGAAAUACAAAAUACAUAGACAAAAAGCAAGCAAGCAAGUAAAUAAAUAAAUUAAUUCCAGCAUGAAUGCACCACCAAGUUUCUAAACUUAUAAUAAAUUUUAAUUUUGACCAAAACUAUUUUAUUUACUAGAUUAAAUGCUCACCAAAAAUACUUAAUUAAAUCAAAUUAAUUCCUAUUAAUUGAAAACAAAUUUUUGGGUGUUACAAGUCUACUUUUGGUAAUGAUGUUAAGAAUACCCAACAGAUAGUAGGUGUUAUUGUUGAUGAAGUUCACGUCCUCUUGUAGUGUAGGGCAACAAAUAGAUUAGUGCCCGUAGUCUCCACAUUCUUUACAUGUCAUAUGGGAAUCAUUGAUGUGCAUGACUUCCUUCUUCUCUAUGUCGAGCUUCUUCAUGAUGAGGUCUAGCUUGGCAGUGACCAUGUUAGCUUUCUUGAGAUGAUGGAUUCCUCCUCCUUUCUUCCGAGACUGAGUAUGGUCUUCAUUGCAUGUCGAAUUUGAUACCAUCUUCUCAACAAUUGCUUUAGCGUCUGAGAGCUUAAGUGAUAGGAAAGCUCCCCCAGCUGCAGCAUCAAUAAACUCACUGGUACUAGAGAUGAGCCCGUGAUAGAAAGUCAACAUUAACAACCACUCCUCUAUCCCAUGAUGAGGACAGUCUUCAAUGUAAUUCUAGAAUCUUUCCCAUGCUUCAGUGAAUGAUUCAUCAUGUUGUUGUUGGAAACUUGAAAUCUUCCCACGUAGAGCAUUAGUCUUUGCUGUAGGAAAGAAUUUUGCCAUGAAAGAAGUUGAGCAAAGGUCCCAUGUAUUGUGUUUCUAUUUGUUGGUGUAAAACCACUACUUGGCUUUCCCGAAUAAUGAGAACGGGAAAAGACGUAGUAAGAUAGCACCUUUUGGUACUCCUCUGAUCGUGAAGGUGUUGCAGAUCUCUAGAAAGUGUUUGUUGAGGAUAUCAGUAAGGAGUACCCUAAGUGAUGAGCAUAUCAAGAGUAUCCGUACACAAGUCGAGGCAUCCGACUCGACGCCCAGUUGUGUGCCCGGUCCUCAACGACCAUAGUCUCGAACACGGAAAGUGCGUCCUGUGAAUCGACCAGGGCUCGAGCGCUGGCUACCGUCGAAUACGGAAACAGGCUCGAGCGAAUCGGAAGGCCUCGAGCGCAAGGACGCCGCCCGCCGCCUGACGUGGGCACGGGAACCAGGGCAUUUAAUGUGCCUGCCGCGUUCUUACCUAACCCGCCAGUCACAGGAAGCGUGAUGGGGAACAGGCACCCGUCCCGUCAUUCUUUUUGCAGCCUUCCCCACCAAACAAGCCAGAACGUGGCAGGAUGCAGGGAGUGGGUUGGAACGUCUAAUCAAGACCCCCCUCGAGACGCCCAAGGUCAGCACUCUAGCUAGCAAGGCGUUACACGACAUCCGACCCUCGAGUAGGCAUGUUUCCUUCCUAGGGAAGGGUCGGGCGACGAGUGACAGCACCUCAACCACUCCGACGCAGCUGCUGCCGCGACAUACAAGCGUGCAACAGAUAAACUAGUCCAGGACGGUGCACAGAGCGGGAUACAGGGGCACGCGUAAUCAUCAUCAAAGUACCAAGACAAGAUGGCUCGAGACCACGCCUGUACGGAGGCCUCGAGUAGGUCAGCGCGCCAUACCGCUAUCGACCCCUACUCUGACGCCUAUACAUGUACACUAGGCCCCUCCUUGGAACUAUAAAAGGGGAGGCCCGGGAGCGGAUACAGGGGACACGCGAUACAACACAACACACAUGCUUACUAGAGCUUCCAUACUCCAUCUACAUCCAUCUCACGCCUGUAUUCACCCCUGUACAAGCACUUAGGUGCAAGAUAAUACAAACACCUCUCCCCCCGCUGGACGUAGGGCCUUCUCUUGCCCGAACCAGGAUAAAUCUUUGUGUCAUUUCUUGCAUCACCAUCUGGAAAGGGGAGCACGCAUACAAGUUUUACUCGUUGGUGUGACCCCCCUGGGGAAAACACCGACAGUUGGCGUGCCAGGUAGGGGUCCUGCGUGUUUUUCACCGAUUUCCCAUUCCUUUCCACAUGGCCACUCUCAUUUCGCCGAUUCCGCGCUCCACGGUGAUUUGGUUCGGGAGCCUCGAGUUCAUGUCUACUUGUUCUGGCUAUGACAUGAUCCUGCUCUCUGUCAAAGGACUGGGAGGAGCCCGCGUUGCGCCAGCACGAUUGAGGGCUCCGAGACGUCCUCGCCACCACGCCUCCCCGCCCAAGAAGAGGCGUGGACAGGGCCACCAUCACCCUUCUGCCUCGUCACGACCGACAGUUCGUGCCAGGCAGGAGGUGACACAGGAGCCGACAGCCCCGUGCACCAAAACCGCGGGUAUGGCGGCCCAACGCCACGAGGAUCGCAUGACGACGAUGGGAGAUGGCGCGCGCCGCGCGCUCUCCCCCACCGCUACGCUACUUCCACAUGGGCUGUUCGCCCCAAGAAGAGCGCUGCCGUUUGGUCUAGACAAUGCCGCGGUGUCGCUCGCUAGGGCGAUAUGUCCAAACGCCCAGUCAUACAUGGAGAGACCAAUGGUCCUCCCACGCGAUACUGAAGCGCAGCAACAGACGUCCGAGCUGCCAGAUUUCUCCUAGGUACGAGGCCUCCGUCGCCUAGGGCUUGGGCGAUACACGAUCACCUCACUCAGGCAACGGCUGCUGGAGGAGGGACGUGGAUGCUUCUACGCCGCCGAGCCGGACUCCGGCUCUGAGUCCGACAGCUACGACCCUACUAGGGAAUGCUUCAACAUCGAUGGGGCAGUGGAAACCACCGACGAGACACAGGACGCCAUUGCAGGCGGUCGAGUCCUUGCAGCAAGGGAGGACCCCAGGACGCCUGGGAAUGACGGUCAGGUCGACCCCCCUCUGCAAGAAGACAGAACUGCGCAACUUGCGCAGCUACGAGAACUCAAAGCGAAGCUCGAUGAGGAUUGCGAGCGCCUUGUUCUGCUUGACAGAUCCUCAAGCAAGACCUGCCUUACCCGCUUGGUGGAAGUGUCCGCAGACGGGCUCGAGAGGUACAUCAGCAGAUCGUCGGAGACGGAGAGCCUGAGCAGCCCGUCAGCCGUUUCCCUCGAGCGGGCCAGAACGUCGUGGCGGCGACAAUGCUGCUGCGUAAUAUGCCCGAACCGUCGAACUCCCAAGCGCGACGCAUUCAAGACGAGGUGCAGACUCUGCUCCAGGUGGCAGCAGUUUGUUGAUAUUUGGUAACGCAAUCAGCAAAUGAUCCGCAAGCGCAUGAAUAUCGGUGAGCAUUUCACCCGGGAGGUUUUUUAGAGUAUCAUAUUUAUAUUUUUACCACUGGGAGAAAGGGUGCAUCUGACUAACCAAAUCUAUUGCUACUACCCCUUUAGGCUACAAAGAAUGUUUCUCGAUGUGAGUGAUGUAUAGAGAAGACUGCAACCGUAGUCUCGUUCUAACCUUGGUAAGGAUGAUCUACUGUUCUAUUGGGGAAGCUUACGGAAUCUAGACACCACAAAGGAUGUUCGACCCACACUUAUAAACUCUACCCAUCCUGCUAACAAGAUAUGGGAUACAAAGGUAACUCGGAAAUGUCACGUUCCUCGCUACUACCACGGUCCAGCUAGUCAGGGGAUAUCUAUGAGUACCCUAGCCUAAACACCACGUUUACGCUAGCAAUGAUUACUCUAAUACUCAACCGGAAGAGGAUUAAAGUAAACUCAUAAACCAAAGAACAAUAAAAUAAGAACUUACUGGAAUUAGAAGUCGAAUUACUGAAGAAUCUUAGGAGCAAGCCUCAGGUUAGAAGACUUGAUCCCGCAGGUACAACCUCGGAGUAGACACCGACAGGCCGGCCUUCCUCCGAUCUACACCUCCACUCUAUCUCUCUCAAUCUAGUAGAAACUAAAAGAUCUAUUUCUACUCACAUUGGUUGCUAAGCCUAAAAAGAAAUUUUAUUUAGAGAAGAGGUUUUCCUUCGAGGGCACCCCUCAACUCUAUGAAAAACUUGUCUCCUCCAGGGGCUAGGGGGUCUGCUUAUAUAGUCCUCCUCAUUUGGGCAUUUUUGGGUCAGCAGACGAUGUGGUACUAUGUUAUCCUUGAUCCUUUAGGUCGGUGGGACGUCGUGUGCGAAAAGAGUCCCAAACGGGGUCCAGAGGGGGGCGGGCGCCCAGGUCCUCAAGGCGGGCGCCCUGGGCCUGGCUCCUUUCGGCCUCUGCUUUCUUCCCUGGGCUUCUGGAGUCUUCUAGAUGGUAGAAAAUUGCGCGGUGUGUUGAUAUCUCUAUGUAAUCCCGACGUGUGGGCCUUUCUUCCUUAUUUCCUGAUAACCCCCUGCAGAAAUAGACAAACACCAAAACUCGUGGAAUUCUGUCAGAUAAAACCCUAAGUCUGGGUGUUGGUUGCAUUUGGAUCCUUUUCUUUAUUUAUUUGAUAAUUAUAUUUGGUACUUAAGGACCGUCAACAACUCCCCCAAGCUUACCUCUUGCUCGUUCCUGAGCAAGGAUGAACUCAAGAGUUUCUACAGUGGUUUCAUGCCUUAAAAGUACACACACAUUCAAGCAAGAUCUCAUCUCUGAGUUAGAAUAAACUGUUAAGACUAAAAACUUACUCAUUUUACCUUUCACCAUGGGGCUUGUAACCGCCAUUUGUGUCUUGAGCAGUUAAAAGAUAGAACGGUCAAGUCAAGCGCCAUGUCUCUUAUUCUUGAUCAACUAUAGCUCUGGAGUUUUUGCAGAUUUUCAAAUAAAACUCAGAGAUUCCUUAUAUGAUUCUCUCAAAUCUCUCUUUUGUGGUAUUUCUGGAUCCUUACCAAGGCAGUAAUGGUAUAUGCCUUAUCUCAAAGUAUGUGGUAUUUUUGGUAUAAUGCAUAGUGAUAUUACCUUCUCUCUCACCCUACUCUAAUAAGGUUUUGAUAUCUGGAGCUCAUAGGUGGGAGACAGCUAAUACAUACUUACAAGACAUUUAUUGCAUAGUCAAACCAUAGAUCCAGAGAAACAAGUCAAUAAGUCAAAUCAAGAUGUGCAUGUGUGGCGAAUGAAUGGUGUAUGGUGAUGAUGGUGAUAACAAUGGUUUAAAUCUAAUUCUGCUUUUGCUCUUUUUAGGGGAUACUUACCUUUCUUGCACUUUGAAGCUUUUUGAGGGGAAUGAGAUGCUCUAUAUUUUCUUUUUCUUUCUCUCUCAGGUGGGUAUCUUGUACCCCUAAUUCUACUGUCGGACACUUGUCCAUUUUUACCUCUCGUCUCACUUUUUCUUUUCUUCGAGGUUCCGGGCACUUGCCCCUUUUUAUUUCCUCGUAUAUAUUUCUCUCUCUUUUUUUCUCUUUCUCUUCUCUUUUUUUAGAGCACUCAUCUCCUGAAAUAAUGUAGCAAGUGGUAGUAACCAAAAUAACUGGAGCAUUUAUUUCACAUUGAAUAAUAGGGAUAGGAAAAUGUUUUUGGCUAUUCUCUCUCGGAUUAGGAGUAGAAUAAUUUUGGGUGAAUCUGGAGAUGGAAAUGAGUGGAUGUAUGUGGAUGCGUACUUCCGGAGUAGAAGCAGCAUAUACGAGUGAACGUGCAAGUGAAUCUUGAUUUUAACCACAUGACAAGCUCCUAAGGGUCUACACAGCUUGACCACACUCAAUGCUCAUAAGCAGUAAAAAGUAAAUGUGUGGCUCUGUUGGGUAUUUUAAACGCAAACAGAAAAAUCCGCAAGCACACGGAUACCGAUGUAGCUUUCACCAGGGAGUAUUCCAGAGUAUCGAUUUUCCACAGAGAACGUGAGUGUAGUCAUUAAGAUCCAAGAUCGCCCAAGGAUAACUAUAUAAUUAUUUUUGGUGGGAAGAGAGGAAGUUUCCUGAGAGUUCUCUAGAUGAUCUAAGAAUCAAGAAUUACUUCAAGAUUAUCUAUUUCGGGACAUCAGAACACUAACCACAGAAAGAGAUGAGAAGGGGGCUAGGAAGCUCUGACUACGGUCCUACAAACACCGAUCCGAACCAGGUGGAAUACGUCGACCGUUAGGGCUGUCACUACCCUAAGGCUACCACAACAAUCCGCAGGAUUGGGUGCAAUUCCAGGUAAUCGCAAGACUAAACACCACGUUUAAUCUAUUAAUUACUACUCUAAUGUUUCAAAGACUAGAGCACUUGAUGCAAGCGGGAAUCCAAUAAAUAACUUGAAUGUAAAUAAAAGUAAUUAGAGAACUCAGGAGUUAUGAGUUGAAGAACCUGGAGAACGAUGAAGAACGAACCAGUUGCUGCAAAAGUACAAUGUUGAGGAAGAUCCGACAGAUCCGGCUCCUCCUCCGCUCUCCUCUUCUCUCUCCCUAUUUUAUAGAUUACAACUAGAACUAACUAGAACUAGAACUAGAGGAACUAGAACUAGAACUAGAUGAACUAGAACUAGAUCUAGAUGAACUAGAGGUAGAACUAGAAGAACUAGAGGGAUCCUCUCUACUUGGAUGAAGAAUUGAAACCCUAACUUUGAUUCUGUAGAAGAGGUAUGAUCUCCAGGGGCCAGGGGGGUCUGGUUUUAUAGUCCCUUCAAGUGAAUCUGGGCCGUCGGAUCAAACCGAUAUUGAUCGCACGGUUUUCCUUGAUCCUUUAGGUCGGUGGAGCUUGGUCCGCAAAGUUGGACGUGUUUGACCACAACUCCUGGGCGGGCGCCCAAGGGGGGUGGGCGGGCGCCCUGCCCCCGGGCCUGUUCGCCUUCCCGUUCGUUCCCGUGGCUUCUGGAGUCUUCUAGAUGACGUAAAAUUGCGUGGCACGUUAAUAUCUCUGUGUCAACCCGACGUGUGGGCCUUUCUUCUGUAUGUCCUGAUAACCCCCUGCAGAAAUAGACAAACACCAAAACUUGUGUAAUUCUGUCAGAUAAAACCCUAAGUCUAGAUGUUGGUAGCAUUUGGAUCCUUUUCCAUGAUUAGUUGACGAUUAAAUGUGAGCAUUAAGGACCGUCAACAAGCUCCCCCAAGCUUAACCUUUGCUCGUCCCUGAGCAAAGAUGAACUCAAGAGUUUCUGCAGUGGUUUCAUAACUUAAAGAUACACAUGCAUUUAAACAAGAUCUCAUCUCUGGUUAGAGUAAACUAUUAAGACUUAAAACUUACUCAUUUACCUUUCACCAUGGGACUUGUAACCGUCACUUCUGUCUUGAGUAGUUAAAUGAUAGAACGGUCUAGUCAAGCACCAUGUCUCUUAUUCUUGAUCAGCUAUAGCUCUGGAGUUUUUGCAGAUUUUCAAAUAAAACUCAGAGAUUCCUUGUAUGACUCUCUCUAGUCUCUCUUUUGUGGUAUUUCUGGAUCCUUACCAAGGCAUUAAUGGUGUAUGCCUUCUCUCAAAGUAUGUGGUAUUUUUGGUAUGAGGCAUAGUGACAUUGCCUUCUCUCUCACCCUACUCUAAUAAGGCUUUUGAUAUCUGGAGCUCAUAGGUGGGAGAUAGCUAAUACAUACUUACAAGACAUUUAUUGCAUAGUCAAACCAUGGAUCCAGAAGAUCAAGUCAAUAAGUCAAAUCAAGAUGUGCAUGUGUGGCGAAUGAAUGGUGUAUGGUGAUGAUGGUGAUAACAAUGGUGAAAGCCUAAUUCUACUUAUGCUCUUUUGAGGGGAUACAUACCUUUCUUGCUCUUUUGAAACUUUUUGAGGAGAAUGAGAUGCUCUAUAUUUUCUUUUUCUUUUCUCUCAGGUGGGUAUCUUGUACCCCUAAUUCUACUGUCGGACACUUGUCCAUUUUUACCUCUUGUCUCACUUUUUUUUUCUUUUCUUUCGAGGUUCCGGGCACUUGCCCCUUUUUAUUUCCUCGUAUUUAUUUUUUUUCUCUCUCUUUUUUUUAUAUUAGAGCACUCAUCUCCUGAAAUAAUAUAGCAAGUGGUAGUAACCAAGAUAACUUGAGCAUUUAUUUCACAGGGGAAAAACAGAAAUGUUUUUGGCUAUUCUCUCCCGGAUUAGGAGUAGAAUAUUUUUAGGUGGCUCUGGAGAUGGAAAUGGAUGGAUAUAUGUGGAUGGUACUUCUGGAGUAGAAGUAGCAUGUGUGAGUGAACGUGCAAGUGAAUCUUGAUUUAACCACAUGACAAGCUCCUAAGGGUCUACACAGCUUGACCACACUCAAUGCUCAUAAGCAGUAAAAAGUAAAUGUGUGGUUCAUAGUCUAACAAGCAUGUAUAUAUGGCUGUGGUAGGAAUUUAAAAUCUCAUCAUACAGGAACUCAUCAUGCAACAUUUUAAAGAUUUUCAAAGAUAAAAUUCUCCAGAAUUCUAGCAUCUCUAGGAACAGAUAAACAGCAGCUCAACCUUCCCAUAUCGUAUCCGUUAACGACUUAGACUUUAGAUCAAGUACUCUCCCCACAAGUUCAGGUUUAGAGCAAAUCUUAAUUAAUAACAGUCAUGCCUAAACUUAAGAGAGAUUUCAAUUUUUAGAACUAGUCAUGGCAGAGCAACUAUUCAUCAUUUCCAUGUGAAAGCUUAUCAUGAGGGUUCAUAGCAAAUUUUAUUUAUUUAUUUAUUUAGCAAACUAAGCAAAGAUAUAUAUAUAAGCACAAAAUCUUUAUUUGGGUUUUUAUGAUUAUGCAUCUUUUUAUUAUUUGAGUAAAAUAUAAACGUGAGUAGAAUACUUAGGUGGAUAAAUGGAGGUGCUCUCCCCCAAGCUGGAUUUUGACGUAAUUCCUUUUGAUGUAGCAGGUUGCGGAGGUGUAUUUGAAUGUCGGCAGCACCCUGAUAUUGAUUAGGAUGUCCUCCGUCUACUAGUCUUCUUUGAUCCUUUAAUUCUGUGGAGCUCAAAUAGACAACAAAGCUUUGUGGAACUAGUUAAGUGUUAGCAUAAAUAUCUAGCCUUUAUCAUGUUGAGCCUCCUCAAUAAAUGUUACUCUCUUUAGUAGGAUCAUAUUUUCAUUUUUAUAGGACAGGAAUAUAUAUAUUUAUUUUUACGCCACCACAGUGAAUGUACUUAUGGGUUUUAUGCCAUGAGCAUACUCACAUGGGGCUUACUUAACAUUUUUAUUUUCUUUUCAAGAUGAUAUGAACCUGAUUAACUAAAAUAAUUGAAAGGAAAAAGAUAACUACCAAGUUUACCUCUUGGCAAGGCGUUCGGUGUUUUUACGUCCUCCGAACGGGACUCUCCGUUUUCUCAAUCAUCCUGGAAUUCGCUGGAUAGCGUAGUCGGUGGUUCUGGCGGUGCCUGCUCUUCGUGUAUAACUAUCUUCUCUCUCCACACAUGACUCGGUGCUACGGUCUCCUCAGGACAGUUCCGUUCAAGUUGUAUGUCUUUAGACCUUACAACUUCUCCUUCAUAGUCUACCCAUCCGUCCUUGAUGAUUUUGCCUUCUCUUGUUACGGUUGCGUCGUCUUCUUCUUGUCCUAACCUGCUUAGAGUCUUCAAUUAUAUAGUUAGGGUCAGUAAAAUAGUGGCGUACCUUCUCAGAGGUGAAGUGCAUGUGGACUUCUCUGGUUCCAAUGUAUAUGAUUGCUUUAAUGGUGCUAAAGAACGGUCUUCCAAGGAUGAUGGGUGGAUCGUAAUCGUCUUCUCCCAUGUCAAUAACCUUCAAUCUUUCAGAAUGUCUGAUCUGCCAUCUGAAGCUGAAUGUAUGUCAGUUUUAGGGGCAUGGUUCCGAAUAGGAGCUGAGAGGUGACUGGCGGCCAUUAUGUCGACGCCUGACCCGGUGUCGCAAAGCAUCUUCUGGAAGUUGUAUCCAUCAAUGGAGCACUGGAUGCUUGGCAUACUUGGGUCGUCCUUUUUGGUUAGGAACGGUGACUUAAGUCGACGAUCUUAACCUCCUUGAACUGCAGUGACCAUCUUUGCUGACUUGGUCCACAUUUGCUUGUUCCUGUUCCUCCUGUUGGUCCUCUUCCUUGUUUCAUGUCGGGAUUGCUCUGAGAUUUGUGUAGUCUUGUUCUUGAAGGAAAAUGUCUCAUUUCUCCCUUUGAUCUAGAAACUGAACUUGGCAGCACUCGCGUAGAUGAUAGCUCCCGAGGUGUUCAGGAAUGGCCUCCCUAGGAUGAUGGGUGCCCUCUCAUCAGUACCAGUCUCUAUCACCACGAAGUCUGCUGGGGCGUACAAGGUACCAACUCGUAUACAGAGGUUCUUCAAUAUUCCUUUUGGGAAACUUAGUGUACAGUCUGCAAGCUGCAAACCCAUGGUUGUUUCUGAUAAAUGAUGUGUAAAGAAUUUUUCUUAGAGUACCCUGGGCAUAAUGUUGACGCUGGAGCCAAAGUCGCAGAGUGCUUCCGGGAAGUCCACCAUGCCGAUGGAGAUCGGGAUGACGGGACGUCCUGGAUUGUAUCUCUUAACCGACAGAAGGUCAGUAAUUACUUCCACAACAGGGUUACUCCAGUAGUUACAUCCUCAAGCAUCUCAGGGCAGUGAUUGCCUGAGUGUCCAGUAUCUCCAGUGUGUUUGUGCUCGUAGAUCUAGGUUCUUCACUUGGUGGAGUCUGGGAGUUAUAAAAGUCCUUCAUAUUUUGCUCGAAGUGUACCUGCUCAUAGAGACAAGGCCGAGAUCAAGUGCAUGGGCUCUGUUGGUGGAAAACACCAACAGAACCAAAAGUGUAUUUGUUCUCUCUAACCUUAAGCAUAGUGAGCAAGACAAAGUUGAUGGAUAAUAAGAUCAUGAGUGUAGCAUUUAACAUUUGUCAGAUUAGAUUGCUCAACCUUAUGGAAAGAUAAUCUAUCUAUAUGUUUUGUUUAUAUCUUCCAAAGAUUGAGUGUGCAACAUUUUAGCUUAUACGAUUAGGAGUGUGGAAUCACAAAGGUGGAAGGACUAAACAUGUUGAAUCGAUUGGGUUGGUUAAUCUAGAGUUGUAGAUCAUACAUGUUUGUCUCUUUUAUUCAUGUGAAUGCCAGAACCAAGAAAAAGCUUAUAGAAGUGAUAGUCAAGUACCUUAAGAUGUUACCUUACUUGAAGAGUGAUGGUACAGUAUUACCUUGUGGAAGCUUUCCUUUCUUAGUGGUAGUGCAUCGUGUUUGUGGCACCGUCCAUGGAUCAUCUCUUGUGAGCUAUGCCUUCCUUGUGUAGAUUGUUAAACUUCAUGUGUCUCUCUCAUUGUCUCCAAUGUGAGUUUGUCUCAGGACUUCCCAGGUCGAUAUUGAAUGUUUUCCUGCAGGGGUUAGUCCAACAAAAUAUACCAAUGUCUACACAAGCGGUUUUUAGUUCAAUAACCAAACUAGACUCCAUGUCUAAUUAGAUUAAGGAAGGCUGUUUAACCUAAGCACCAUGCUUAAUUUAAAAACCAAUAGAAGUAUGUACAGUACUUCCAAACUAACACUUACUAGGAUAAACAAAGGUAGCGUGAUGGCUUUUAUAGAGAUCUACUCAAGUGGAGAUGAAGUAGUGUGAUUACUAUUUAACAAAUUGAGCAUGUCUCAGGGUAGGGAUAACCAACAUAGCAACAUGGCAAAUGAUGUUUUUGUAUAAAGUACUCCCCCAAGCUUGAAUUUUGCAAAAUCAAGUUUGGAUGAAUUUAAUUCAAUGUUGUAUGAUGAUUGGUUGGACAUACCUUGUGCUUGUCAUUCAUCCGAUCUUCUUGCUCCAAUCCUGGAAAGGUUAGUGACAAGAAUACCCGAAGGAAUUUUUUUACAAUUAUCCUUAUAUGCUCAAUACACAAGUUAAUGUUGCAAAUAAUUAAAAGCUCAUGUUACAAUCUGAUCAGUGCUUGUUUUAGGACACUAAGCUUGUCCUUGGGAAACCAUCAAUUUAUGUCAGCGAAGUGGUUUCCCCUCUAACGCUGACCUAUAUCAAGAUCAACUCAACGAGAUCUACAAAAUUUAUUAUAGACAUAUGCAUCGACAACCGCCCUUUUAAAGUUUUUAUAAAUAGAAAGGAUGUGGGGGAUGGAGAUCUCGAAUGUGGUGAUGUUGGAGAGACCAAUGGAUUGUGAAGAUGUUGCAUAUGAGCAUGGAGUAAAUGAAGUGGCUAUGAAAUAAAUUCCAUGCUCAUUAAUGCUUAGAGUGAAAUCCAUGUGGUAUGGUGAAAAUGGUAAGGUGAGUGUGGUAGAAAAAGAAAAAGGAUACACGGACGACUUGGUUCGAAACUAGCACAGCUACCGUUCCCCGGCAACGGCGCCAGAAAGCUUGUUGGGUAUUUUAAACGCAAACAGAAAAAUCCGCAAGCGCACGGAUACCGAUGUAGCUUUCACCCGGGAGUAUUCCAAAGUAUCGAUUUUCCACAGAGAACGUGAGUGUACUAAUUAAGAUCCAAGAUCGCCCAAGGAUAACUAUAUAAUUAUUUUUGGUGGGAAGAGAGGAAGUUUCCUGAGAGUUCUCUAGAUGAUCUAAGAAUCAAGAAUUACUUCAAGAUUAUCUAUUUCGGGACAUCAGAACACUAACCACAGAAAGAGAUGAGAAGGGGGCUAGGAAGCUCCGACUACGGUCCUACAAACACCGAUCCGAACCAGGUGGAAUACGUCGACCGUUAGGGCUGUCACUACCCUAAGGCUACCACAACAAUCCGCAGGAUUGGGUGCAAUUCCAGGUAAUCGCAAGACUAAACACCACGUUUAAUCUAUUAAUUACUACUCUAAUGUUUCAAAGACUAGAGCACUUGAUGCAAGCGGGAAUCCAAUAAAUAACUUGAAUGUAAAUAAAAGUAAUUAGAGAACUCAGGAGUUAUGAGUUGAAGAACCUGGAGAACGAUGAAGAACGAACCAGUUGCUGCAAAAGUACAAUGUUGAGGAAGAUCCGACAGAUCCGGCUCCUCCUCCGCUCUCCUCUUCUCUCUCCCUAUUUUGUAGAUUAGAACUAGAACUAACUAGAACUAGAACUAGAGGAACUAGAACUAGAACUAGAUGAACUAGAACUAGAUCUAGAUGAACUAGAGGUAGAACUAGAAGAACUAGAGGGAUCCUCUCUACUUGGAUGAAGAAUUGAAACCCUAACUUUGAUUUUGUAGAAGAGGUAUGAUCUCCAGGGUCCAGGGGGGUCUGGUUUUAUAGUCCCUUCAAGUGAAUCUGGGCCGUCGGAUCAAACCGACAUUGAUCGCACGGUUUUCCUUGAUCCUUUAGGUCGGUGGAGCUUGGUCCGCAAAGUUGGACGUGUUUGACCACAAAUCCUGGGCGAGCGCCCAAGGGGGGUGGGCGGGCGCCCUGCCCCCGGGCCCGUUCGCCUUCCCGUUCGUUCCCGUGGCUUCUGGAGUCUUCUAGAUGACGUAAAAUUGCGCGGCACGUUAAUAUCUCUAUGUCAACCCGACGUGUGGGCCUUUCUUCUGUAUUUCCUGAUAACCCCCUGCAGAAAUAGACAAACACCAAAACUUGUGUAAUUCUAUCAGAUAAAACCCUAAGUCUAGAUGUUGGUAGCAUUUGGAUCCUUUUCUAUGAUUAGUUGACGAUUAAAUGUGAGCAUUAAGGACCGUCAACAGGCUCAAAGUCUAAUAAGCAUGUAUAUAUGGCUGAGGUAGGAUUUUAAACUCUCAUCAUACAGGAACUCAUUAUGUGAUAUUUUAAAGAUUUUUCAAAGAUAAAAUUCUCCAGAAUUCUAGCAUCUCUAGGAACAGAUAAACAGCAGCUCAACCUUCCCAUAUCAUAUCCGUUAACAACUUAGACUUUAGAUCAAGUACUCUUCCCACAAGUUCAGGUUUAGAGCAAAUCUUACUUCAUAACAGUCAUGCCUAAACUUGAGAGAGAUUUUAAUUUUAAGAACUAGUCAUGGCAGAGCAACUAUUCAUCAUUUCCAUGUGAGAGUUUAUCAUGAGGGUUCAUAGCAAACUUUAUUUAUUUAUUUAGCAAACUAAGCAAAGAUGUAUAUAUAAGCACAAAAUCUUUAUUUGAGUUUUUAUGAUUAUGCAUCUUUUUAUUAUUUGAUUUAAGUAUAAACGCGAGUAGAAACACUUAGCUGGAUAAAUGGAGGUGCUCUCCCCCAAACUGGAUUUUGACGUAAUUACUUCUGAUGUAGCUAGCAGGUGGCGGAGGUGUAUUUGAAUGUCAGGAGCACUCUGACAGCUAUUAGGAUGUCCUCCAUCUGCUAGUCUUCUUUGAUCCUUGAAUUCUGUGGAGCUCAAAUAGACAACAAAGCUUUGUGGAACUGGUUAAGUGUUAGCAUAAAAUCGCUUUGCCUUUAUCAUGUUGAGCUUCCUCUAAUAAAUAUUAUUCUCUUUGGUAGGAUCAUAAAUUUAUUUUUAUAUUUUCAUUUUUAUAGGAUAGGAAUAUAUUUAUUUUAUUUUUAUGCCACCACAGUGAAUGUACUUAUGGGUUUUAUGCCAUGAGCAUACUCACAUGGGGCUUACCGUUUUUAACAUUUUUAUUUUCUUUUCAAGAUGAUAUGAACCUGAUUAACUAAGCAAACUAUUUUAAAUAAUUAAAGAGAAAAUGAUAACUACCAAGUUUACCUCUUGGCAAGGCGUUCGGUGUUUUUAAGUCCUCCGAACGGGACUCUCCGUUUGCUCAGUCGUCCUGGGAUUUGCUGAUGGCGUAGUCGGUGAUUCCGGCGGCGCCUCCACUUCGUGUAUAACUAUCUUCUCUUUCCACAUCUAACUCGGUGCUACGGUCUCCUCAGGACAGUUCUGUUCAAGCUCUAUGUCUUCAGACCUUACCACUUCUCCUUCGUAGUCUGCCCAUCCGUCCUUGAUGAUUUGCCUCCUCUGGUUCCAGUUGCGUCGCCUCCUUCAGAGGGAAGUGCAUGUGGACUUCUCCGAUUCCAAUAUAGAUGAUAGCUUUGAUAGUGCUGAGGAACGGUCUUCCAAGGAUGGUGGAUGGAUCAUACUCAUCUUCUCCCAUGUCAAUGACCUGAAAAUCAUCUGGAGCUGAAUGUAUGUUGGUUGUAGGGGCAUGGUUCCAUGCAGGAGCUGAUAAGUGACUGCGGCCAUUAUGUUGUCGUCAGAUCCGGUGUCGUAGAGUGUCUUCUAAAAAGAGUAUCCGUUGAUUGUGCACUCGAUGCUUGGAACACCAAGGUCGUCUUUCUUGAUUAGGAAAGGCGACUUGAGUCGACGAUGUUGACCUCUUCCGACAAGGAUCCAAUGUUUUAAGUCUUCUGGACAAGACUUCUCACCGUCUUCAUCCUUUAGGUGCAUCAUUUGAUUAGGUGUGGACCUUGACGUCUGCACUUCUUGAUAUAGUG